GUCAUUGUAUCUCAAGUUCUUUUUUAUUUUAUACUCGAAGAUUUCAUAUUCUAUUGGGGGCACAGGGCUCUGCAUACCAAAUGGCUAUACAAGCAUGUCCACAGUGUGCACCAUGAGUAAGUGAUAUUUCUUCAUUAACCCGUAUUUGAUUUUACUACAUUAGUUUGUUACCAUUCUAACUUUUAAGACGAUAAAAUGUGAGCAGAUAUGCUACACCAUUCGGCUUAACUUCGGAAUAUGCACACCCUGCUGAAAUUUUGUUCCUGGGAUUUGCCACGGUUGUUGGUCCUGCCCUCACUGGCCCUCACUUGUUUACCCUUUGGCUGUGGAUGGUUUUGAGGGUGUUAGAGACGGUUGAAGCUCACAGUGGAUAUCACUUCCCUUGGAGCCCAUCAAACUUCCUGCCACUGUAUGGAGGGUAAGUAAACUAGAAUUUGCAAAUGUGGUACCUGAUGGUAGGGAAGUUCUAUUUUCUCAUUUGAUAGGUUGCGUUUAACUGAGUUGUGAAUAUUUUCUCAUGAGCAGCUCUGACUUCCAUGACUAUCAUCAUCGUGUGCUCUACACCAAGUCAGGGAACUACGCCUCUACUUUUGUUUACAUGGACUGGUGAGUAUACAUGUUUGCCUUUGCUGUGUUGAAUAUGCGUGGUAAGCUCCCUCCCUUUUACAUGACAUGCAUCCUCUUAAUCUUGUUGUUGCGUUAGGUUGUUUGGCACAGACAAGGGCUAUCGCAAGACAAAAGCCAUCGAAGGGGAAGAAGGGAAGCAUUUGUAAAUUGUGGAGGCUACUCUCUCUUUUCUCUGAGUCAACUCAUCAGAACUAGUUUUUGAUCUCUUGUAUUGGUGAUAACAUUGUGUUCAUGGGAGGAGAUACAUGCGGCAUUGAUCCUAGGCAUGGGCCGUCCAUCCUACAUGUCGUUGAGUCUCUGUUCUCCCAUAUUUGCUAGCAUGAUGAGAUCAUGUGUUGUGUAGGCCAACUUAUAUAAUUUGUGGUGAAUUAAAUUUGUUGUGCUCUGUUGGGGUUUAUGCCCAUGGCAGAAGUAACUAUUUGAAGCAGCAAUAACUUGUCAGAUUAGUUGUUUUGCAAGUCGAGUAAAUAACUGAGAUGAGAUUUGUCUGUGCUUUAUUUGUUUUUGCAUCAGUUUCCCUUGCAAACUCAUGGGGAGCAUGGUGCAAGUGAUUACUGGCAAUCUGAAUCAUCUUAAUAAUCAAGCAAAACUUAGCUUCUAGCCAUGAAUGCGGCUCCUCACGGUUACAUGUGUAUUGUCAUAGCUUGGCUGCUAUUGUGCGUCCGCCAUCGACGCAUAUGACCUGGCCCGUCAUGUACCCGGCGCCGGGCAUGCAGAGGAAGGCGACGACCGCGGCGACUUCGUGGGGCUUGCCGAAGCGGCGCAUGGGCACCCGCGCCGUCUCCAUGUCGGCGAGCCUCCGCGCCAUGGUUGGGUCGGUGGCGAGCGUGGUGGUGGAGAUAUCGGUGUCGAUGCCACCCGGCGCGACGCAGUUGACGCGGAUGCCGUGCGUCGCCCACUCGGCGGCCAGGCUCCUGGCGAGCUGGUGCAUGGCCCCCUUGGUGAGCGAGUAAACCGAGAGCGCCGGGUAGGCGAUGUAGCCGGUGACGGAGGAGAUGAGCAGCACGGAGGAGGCCCCGGCUUGGCGGAGCAGCGGGUGCGCGAGCUGGGAGAGGUGGAAGCAGGGGUCGAGGUUGGUGGCCAUGAUGCGGGCGUAGUCCUCCGGCGUGGUGUCCGCGGCCGCCUUGUAGAGGGAUUGGCCGGCGUUGUUGACGAGGAUGUGGAGCUUGCCGUGGAAGAGGUCGCGGACCGUGGCGACGAGGGCCUCCCUGUCGCCGCGCACGGAGACGUCGCAGACGGAGGCGGUGACCAGCUGGUGGAGGCCCUUGCUCUGCCAUCGCCGCCGGCAUUUGUCCAGGCCGGCGGCGUUGCGUGCGCAGGUGUGCACCUUGGCGCCCAGCCCGGCCAGCUCCUCCACGAUGGCAAGCCUACGGACGUACAAAAUGAAUCGAGCGGUUGAUCAAUGCGUGCACCACCAACUAACUAAUCGAGUGCGCAAAGCCACGAAAUGAAGCAUAACUGAACAUACCCGAUCCCCUUGGUUCCUCCGGUGACGAGCGCCGUCAUGCCGGCGAGGUUCCACCGGUGACUCAUCGUCUCCUGUGAAGAAUCCGAUGUGACACCUGCCAUCGGUCGGUAAAUAUAUCAGCUAUAGCGACUGAUCGACCCUGCAUCAGUAGCCAGUUAUAUAUGUUUGUGUGAUGGAUCGAUCGGCCCAAUGACCCUGCAUCCCAUCCAUCUUGUUUCACAUCAUGCUUAGUUGCCACACUUGGUAUUGGAGUCCCCUCCAAGUUCGUCACUGCCAAGGAAGAUAGAUAUUUUCGAUGCAUAUGCUCCCAGCCUCCUGCUCGGCUGCUUUUUGCUCACUGCUUUCGGCAAAUCUAUCUAUCUACCCCUCUACCCUUAUAAUAAUAUAAUAAAGCCAAUAAUGCUUCGUCCGUCAUGAAAAUUGACUCCGAAGUUGUCCAUAAUUACCCACCACACCACCCAUAAGUUAGAAAAAAACAAAUCGUUUUUUCUUUUACACCCGACCGCAGCUUUUUCAAUAACUUUAAAUCCCACCAUAUAGCACAAAGAUUCACACAGCCAAGUGGAUAGAGCAUCCUCCUUCAGUCUAGAAGACCUAGGUUUGAGUCGUCCUUCUCCCCUUUUUCCUAAUCCCGCAUAUCUAAAAGUUUUUUUAAUAUUAAUAUCUCUACAACAACAACAAAGCCUUUAGUCCCAAACAAGUUGGAGUAGGCUAGAGGUGAAACCCAUAAGAUCUCGCAACUAACUCAUGGCUCUGGCACAUGGAUAGCAAGCUUCCACGCAUCCCUGUCCAUAGCUAGCUCUUUGGUGAUACUCCAAUCCUUCAGGUCUCUCUUAACGGACUCCUCCCAUGUUAAAUUCGGUCUACCCCGCCCUCUCUUGACAUUCUCCGCACGCUUUAGCCGUCCACUAUGCACCGGAGCUUCUGGAGGCCUGCGCUGAAUAUGCCCAAACCAUCUCAGACGAUGUUGGACAAGCUUCUCUUCAAUUGGUGCUAUCCCAACUCUAUCUCAUAUAUCAUCAUUCCGGACUCGAUCCUUCCUCGUGUGGCUACACAUCCAUCUCAACAUACGCAUCUCCGCCACACCUAACUAUUGAACAUGUCGCCUUUUAGUCGGCCAACACUCAGUGCCAUACAACAUUGCGGGUCGAACCGCCGUCUUGUAGAACUUGCCUUUUAGCUUUUGUGGCACUCUCUUGUCACAGAGAAUGCCAGAAGCUUGGCGACACUUCAUCCAUCCGGCUUUGAUUCGAUGGUUCAUAUCUUCAUCAAUACCCCCAUCCUCCUGCAGCAUUGACCCCAAAUACCGAAAGGUGUCCUUCUGAGGUACCACCUGGCCAUCAAGGCUAACCUCCUCCUCAUACCUAGUAGUACUGAAACCGCACAUCAUGUACUCGGUUUUAGUUCUACUAAGCCUAAACCCUUUCGAUUCCAAGGUUUGUCUCCAUAACUCUAACUUCCUAUUUACCCCCGUCCGACUAUCGUCAACUAGCACCACAUCAUCCGCAAAGAGCAUACACCAUGGGAUAUCUUCUUGUAUAUCCCUUGUGACCUCAUCCAUCACCAAUGCAAAAAAGAUAAGGGCUCAAAGCUGACCCCUGAUGCAGUCCUAUCUUAAUCGGAAAGUCAUCAGUGUCGACAUCACUUGUUCGAACACUUGUCACAACAUUAUCGUACAUGUCCUUGAUGAGGGUAAUGUACUUUGCUGGGACUUUGUGUUUCUCCAAGGCCCACCACAUGACAUUCCGCGGUAUCUUAUCAUAGGCCUUCUCCAAGUCAAUGAACACCAUAUGCAAGUCCUUCUUUUGCUCCAUAUAUCUCUCCAUAAGUUGUCGUACCAAGAAAAUGGCUUCCAUGGUCGACCUCCCAGGCAUGAAACCAAACUGAUUUUUGGUCACGCUUGUCAUUCUUCUUAAGCGGUGCUCAAUGACUCUCUCCCAUAGCUUCAUUGUAUGGCUCAUCAGCUUAAUUCCACGGUAAUUAGUACAACUCUGAACAUCCCCCUUGUUCUUGAAGAUUCGUACUAAUAUACUCCAUCUCCAUUCUUCUGGCAUCUUGUUUGCCCGAAAAUGAGGUUGAAAAGCUUGGUUAGCCAUACUAUCGCUAUGUCCCCGAGACCUUUCCACACCUCAAUGGGGAUACAAUCAGGGCCCAUCGCCUUGCAUCCUUUCAUCCUUUUUAAAGCCUCCUUGACCUCAGACUCCUGGAUUCGCCGCACAAAACGCAUGCUGGUCUCAUCAAAGGAGUCAUCCAGUUCAAUGGUAGAACUCUCAUUCUCCCCAUUGAACAGCUUGUCGAAGUACUCCCGCCAUCUAUGCUUAAUCUCCUCGCCCUUCACCAAGAGUUGGCCUGCUCCGUCCUUGAUGCAUUUGACUUGGCCAAUAUCCCUCGUCUUCCUCUCUCGGAUCUUGGCCAUCUUAUAGAUGUCCCUUUCACCUUCCUUCGUGCCUAACCAUUGGUAGAGGUCCUCAUAUGCCCGACCCCUUGCUUCACCAACAGCUCGCUUUGCGGCCUCCUUCGCCAUCUUGUACUUCUCUAUGUUGUCUGCACUCCUAUCCAGGUAUAGGCGUUUGAAGCAAUCUUUCUUCUCUUUAAUCGCCUUCUGGACAUCAUCAUUCCACCACCAGGUAUCCUUAUCUUCGCUUCUCCUUCCCAUGGACACUCCAAGCUCCUCUGAGGCCACCUUACGAAUGCAAGUCGCCAUCUUCGUCCACACAUUGUUCGCAUCUCCUCCUUCCUCCCAAGGGCCCUCCUUAAUGACCCUCUCCUUGAACGCUAGAGCUACCUCCCCCUUGAGCUUCCACCACUUCGUUCUAGCGACUUUGGCACGCUUAUCCCGCUGGACACGAAUCCGAAAGCGGAAGUCAGCAACCACCAGCUUAUGCUGGGGUACAACACUAUCUCCAGGUAUCACCUUACAGUCUAGGCACGCAUGCCUAUCUUCUCUUCUCGAGAGGAUGAAAUCAAUCUGGCUAGAGUGUUGGCCACUACUAAAAGUCACUAUAUGUGAUUCUCUCUUUCUAAAGAGGGUGUUAGCUACAAUCAUGUUGUAGGCUAGAGCAAAGCUUAAGACAUCUUCUCCUUCUUGAUUCCUGAUGACAUAGCCAAAGCCCCCGUGCGCCCCUUCAAAACCUGUGUUAGAUGUACCCACGUGGCCAUUGAGGUCUCCUCCUAUGAAGAGCUUCUCACCAAUCGAUACACUCCUAACCAUGUCUUCCAGGCCUUCCUAGAACUCCCUCUUGGUGUUCUUAUUGUGGCCUACUUGCGGGGCAUACGCGCUGAUAACAUUAAGAACCAAGUCCUCAACUACCAGCUUGACCAGGAUAAUCCGAUACCCACGUCUCUUGACGUCUACCACUCCAUACUUGAGGCUCUUGUUGAUCAAGAUGCCUACGCCAUUUCUGUUUGCAACCGUCCCUGUGUACACAGCUUGAAGCCGGUAUCCUCCACCUUCUUCGCCUUCUGUCCUCUCCAUUUGGUUUCUUGGACGCUAAUAUUAAUAUAUCUAAAUCUAACAUUUUAUAUAUGAAAAUCCCUCAGAAAAAUGUGUACAUUUCAAAAAUGCUAUUAUCUUGUAUGUUAAUCUUUUCUAAAUUAUGUUUAGCAUGCAACUUUAAUCAAUACCUUCUUUACAUGUGGUAUUUUAAAAAUGCCAAUUGUAUAUGUUUUACCCCAUCUAAACUGAGUAGAUAUGAUAGUUUAUUCUUUUCACAAAAACUAUACAUAAGCAUCAUCUCUAUUUCACACAAUGCAUAAUAAAAAACCCAUAUACGAUGAUGUACACGAAACUGUUGGUACAAGCUUUAUGUAAACCAGUGGCUUAACAUUGAUUUUCAUAUUGUUUGAGAUUUAUAUGAAGAUGUUGAUAUGCAACCUUGAAUAUUUGGCAUGCAUGUUUGAUUGUUUUUGGUGAAGCUAUGUAAUAUGUUUGCAACCAAAUUAAGUCUUCACUUGAUUACAGUUAUAAACACAAGUAUCAACAAGACAAAAAUAAUGCUUUUAUGCACAUGCUAUCAUUGAGUACUAACACAUAUUUUGUUAUUUUCAUCCUAAUGCAAUAUUUUUUGGGCAUCACUGAGGAGUAACAACAAUAGAGGCAUAAAGAGAUAGCGGCAACUAGGUAGAUGUUUCUGUUAUCUAAUGGAUUAGAAACACCUUGAGUAUAUGAGUGUUUUUGUUCCGGGAAGAAUGAUCACAGAUAAAUAUUUUAGUGGCAUAUGAGUGUUUCCACACAAUAAAAAAGAAAAGGGCGGGUAAAGAAGGCUUGAGUGCCAUUAAAUUGGAUAUGCAUAAAGCUUAUGACCGAGUGGAAUGGUCUUUUUAAAAGAAAUUUUGUUGAGACCGGGGUUCAAGGAGAAUUGGGUGAACUUAAUUAUGCAAUGUGUAUCCUCUAUGGAGUAUAUGGUUCAUUUUAAUACCGAUGAGACUGACAGUUUUAAGCCUACUAGAGGACUAAGAUAGGGGAGCCGUCUCUCCCUGAAAGUGCUAGUUAUCGACUAGAGGGGGGGAGGGGGGGUGAAUAAGCGAUUUUUAUGAAAGUCUUCAAAACACGAGGUCUUUGAGGACAAACAGUAGAAAUGAACCUAUUGAUAUGCAGCGGAAGAUAGACUACACUAGACAAGCCAGAGUCAAGUAAGCAAUGUAGUGAAAGCACGAAGACUAUCAGCAGCUAGGUAGUAUGGAUCAGGAUGAAAGACAAUAUGAAGCCAAACAGUAAAUAGUCUUCACUAAGUGAAGUCAAAUAGAUCAGACAAGCAAGCAAUGACUUCACGAAGACAAACUGUAAAGUAAAGGGAAGUGGAGGAUAGAACCCGUUGCUUGGUGAAGACAAGGAUUUGGUAGACCAGUUCUAGUUGCUGUGACUACUGUACAUCUGGUUAGGGAGGCUAAAAUUUAACCCAGAAGACCGGGUCUUCACCUUAUCCCCCUUGAGGUAAGGACACCCAGUCCUCACCCAAUCACUCUGGUAAGUCUUCAAGGUAGACUUCAAAACCUUCACAGACUUCGUUCACCGGCGAUCCACAAUGACUCUUGGAUGCUCAGAACGCGACGCCUAACCGUCUGGAGGAUUCACAGUCCUCAAGUGUAACAAGUCUUCAGGUCACGCGGACAUAAAGACUUCAGUGAUGCCUAACACUCUUUGGCUCUGGGUGUUUUAGGCUUUGUCCUCGCAAGGAUCUCUCCCUCAAAUGCUUCGGAGGUGGGUUGCUCUCAAACGACAAAAGUUGUGCACUAACUCUGAGCAGCCACCAAUUUGUGGUGUAGGGGGCGGGCUAUUUAUAGCCAGGAGGCAAUCCGUCCUGAUAUGUCCAAAAUGACCCUGGGUCACUAAGGAACCGACACGUGUCCAACGGUCGGAUUUCAAACACACGCGCCAGCUUGACUUGGGCUACAAGUAAAGCUGACUCAUCCAGCUCUGGAUAAGAUUUGCUCUCAUUGUCUUUGCUCGAAGACAUAGGAUUUUGGUUGAUGAGAGGAUCGAGAAGAGGUGUGUGUGGGGGGGGUGAAUAGACUCUUAGCAAAGAAAGUUGCAGUUUUUAAAUUCUUUAAGUUGAAGUGGAGUUUUAGCACAAGUUCAAACAUUCACAAUACAUACCAAGCAAGCAUGACAAGAGUAUAAGAGCAAUGGAAAGUAAAUCAUGCAAGUUGCAAGAAUGUAAAGGGAUGGGAUUGGAGUGUGCAAACGCAAUUGGAGACGGAGAUUUUUGGCGUGGUUCCGAUAGGUGGUGCUAUCGUAUAUCCACAUUGAUGGAGACUUCAACCCACGAAGGGUAACGGUUGCGCGAGUCCACAGAGGGCUCCACCCAUGAAGGGUCCACGAAGAAGCAUCCUUGUCUAUCCCACCAUGGCCAUCGCCCACGAAGGACUUGGCUCACCAGGGUAGAUCUUCACGAAGUAGGCGAUCUCCUUGCCCGUACAAACUCCUUGGUUCAACUCCACAAUCUUGACGGAGGCUCCCAAGUGACACCUAACCAAUCUAGGUGUCACACCCACGAUGUGGCUAUAUCUCCCACGUGUCGGAGCACGACUUAGAGGCAUAACUGCAUAGCAGGCAUGUCGCAAGAGGGGUAAUAUUUACACAUCCCAUGUACUGAAUAUGAAAGGGAUAAAGAGUUGGCUUACAAUUGCCACUUCACACAAUACAUAAAUAUAGCAUUACAUCAUCCAGAAUACAAUCAAGGUCCGACUACGGAACCAAAAUAAAACAAGACCACCCCCUAAUGCUAGAUCCCCGAUCGCCCCGACUGGGCUUCACUACUGAUCAACUAGAAACGAAACAACACAACAAACACGAUCUUCAUCGAGCUCCUCCUUGAGCUCGGUUGCGUCACCUGCACGGUUAUCAUCGGCACCUGCAACUGUUUGGAAGUAUCUGUGAGCUAUGAGGACUCAGCAAUCUCACACCCGCGAGAUCAAGACUAUUUAAGCUUAUGGGUAGGGAAGGGUAGUGAGGUGGAGCUGCAGCAAGCACUAAGCAUAUAUGGUGGCUAACUUAUAUAGUCCUUUCAUAGGGGCCAGCCUAUCCAACUUUUAGGCAUUAGGAUAUGUUUAAGGCGUUCCUUCAAUGUCGCCUCGUCAAGAAAAGGCAACCAUUCUACACCUCAAAUCCUAGUGCAGUGGUCUCACCUUCCCGUGGAUUGUGCAACAUGGAUGGAUUACUAUACACUCAAGAAUUGCUAUCCCAAGGCACCCAUUUGGGAUGAAGCUCCUUCUCAAGGCGUGGUGACUAUCACGCCUGUGCCACAGGUCAAUGCGACCUUGAGAGUGGCAGAGGUGGACCACAAGGUCCUCGAUCUGGUGGACUUGGACGAUGACGCAUCCAAAGAAGACACUGCCCCUGUCUAGAGUGAGAUAAAGAUGGAGUAGGCGUCAAGAAGAAGAGAGUGGCAAGAAUGGGUGUAUGGACCGUAGGUCCCAACCGUAAGGAGGAAGAGAAGCGAAGUGUUGUCCCUCUAACGCUCAUGCUUGAUGAAUUAAAUUUAAAUUCCCCAUCUGUCUCUCUACUCACCCCCUUCAUCUACCUCUCAUAUUUUCCUUCCAAUUUACCCAAAUCCUCGAUGUGAUCCUUUCCCCUCGAAGUAGGACAUCACAUGAAGUUGUUGUGAUAAAAACCAACAGGCCCAUCGCACCUGAACAUUAACCACCACCGAUGAAGAGAGUAGUAGACUGCAAGAAUCAAACUUGUAAAUAGCCAAAUAAAGACUAGAUCCAAACAGGUCCACCAAAGACCAGUAUUGACCGAUUCCCCGCGAGAUCCAAUGAAGACACGCCUCCACUCGCCCUCCGACAAUGAUAGAUGCAUCAUCGGUACAAGGAUGAAAGUGGGAGACAUUAUUCCUAGUAAGGAACAUCGUCACCGCCUCACAACCCUAACCAAGACGCUAAACCUUGUUGGAAAUAUGCCCUAGAGGCAAUAAUAAAAGUAUUAUUAUAUUUCAAUGUUCAUGAUAAAUGUCUUUUAUUCAUGCUAUAACUGUAUUAUCCGGAAAUCGUAAUACACGUGUGAAUACUUAGACCACAAUAUGUCCCUGGUGAGCCUCUAGUUGACCAGCUCGUUGUGAUCAACAGAUAGUCAUGGUUUCCUGACUAUGGACAUUGGAUGUCGUUGAUAAUGGGAUCACAUCAUUAGGAGAAUGAUGUGAUGGACAAGACCCAAUCCUAAGCAUAGCAUAAAAGAUCGUGUAGUUCGUUUUGCUAGAGCUUUGCCAGUGUCAAGUAUCUCUUCCUUCGACCAUGAGAUCGUGUAACUCCCGGAUACCGUAAGAGUGCCUUGGGUGUAUCAAACGUCACAACGUAACUGGGUGACUAUAAAGGUGCAUUACAGGUAUCUCCGAAAGUAUCUGUUGGGUUGACACGGAUCGAGACUGGGAUUUGUCACUCCGUAUGACGGAGAGGUAUCUCUGGGCCCACUCGGUAAUGCAUCAUCAUUAUGAGCUCAAUGUGACCAAGGUGUUGGACACGGGAUCAUGCAUUACGGUACGAGUAAAGUGACUUGCCGGUAACGAGACUGAACAAGGUAUUGGGAUACCGACGAUCGAGUCUCGGGCAAGUAACGUACCGAUUGACAAAGGGAAUUGCAUACAGGGUUUGAUCGAAUCCUCCACAUAGUGGUUCAUCCGAUGACAACAUCAAGGAGCAUGUGGGAGCUAUCAUGGGUAUCCAGAUCCCGCUGUUGGUUAUUGACUGAGAGCGUCUCGGUCAUGUCUGCAUGUCUCCCGAACCCGUAGGGUCUACACACUUAAGGUUCGGUGACGCUAGGGUUAUUAGGAAGACUAGUAUGUGACUACCGAAUGUUGUUCGGAGUCCCGUAUGGGAUCCUGGACGUCACGAGGAGAUCCGGAAGGGUCCGGAGGUAAAGAUUUAUAUAUGGGAAGUUGUCAAACGGACACCGGGAAGUUUCGGGGUCAUACCGGUAUUGUACCGGGGCCACCGGAAGGGUUCCGGGGGUCCACCGGGAGGGGCCACCCCUCCCGGGGGGCCACAUGGGCUGCGUGGGGCAGGGAGCCAGCCCCUGGUGGGCUGGCCGCACCCCCCUCCCUUGGGCCCAUGCGCCUAGGGUUGAGGGGGAACCCUAGAGGGGGCGCCCCCCUUGGCUUGGGGGGCAAGCCACCCUCUCCCCUCUCCCCUAGGCCGNNNNNNNNNNNNNNNNNNNNNNNNNNNNNNNNNNNNNNNNNNNNNNNNNNNNNNNNNNNNNNNNNNNNNNNNNNNNNNNNNNNNNNNNNNNNNNNNNNNNNNNNNNNNNNNNNNNNNNNNNNNNNNNNNNNNNNNNNNNNNNNNNNNNNNNNNNNNNNNNNNNNNNNNNNNNNNNNNNNNNNNNNNNNNNNNNNNNNNNNNNNNNNNNNNNNNNNNNNNNNNNNNNNNNNNNNNNNNNNNNNNNNNNNNNNNNNNNNNNNNNNNNNNNNNNNNNNNNNNNNNNNNNNNNNNNNNNNNNNNNNNNNNNNNNNNNNNNNNNNNNNNNNNNNNNNNNNNNNNNNNNNNNNNNNNNNNNNNNNNNNNNNNNNNNNNNNNNNNNNNNNNNNNNNNNNNNNNNNNNNNNNNNNNNNNNNNNNNNNNNNNNNNNNNNNNNNNNNNNNNNNNNNNNNNNNNNNNNNNNNNNNNNNNNNNNNNNNNNNNNNNNNNNNNNNNNNNNNNNNNNNNNNNNNNNNNNNNNNNNNNNNNNNNNNNNNNNNNNNNNNNNNNNNNNNNNNNNNNNNNNNNNNNNNNNNNNNNNNNNNNNNNNNNNNNNNNNNAUAAAUAGAGGGGUGAGGGGAGGGCAGCCGUACCACCCUCCAAGGCGCAGCCCUCCCCUCCCCAACACCUCUCCUCCUCCCGUUGUGUGCUUGGCGAAGCCCUGUCGGAGUACUGCCUCUCCACCAUCACCACGCCGUCGUGCUGCCGGUGGAGCUAUCUUCCUCAACCUCUCCUUCCCCCUUGCUGGAUCAAGAAGGAGGAGACGUCUCCCGUCCCGUACGUGUGUUGAACGCGGAGGUGAUGUCCGUUCAGCACUUGGUCAUCGGUGAUUCGAAUCACGUCGAGUACGACUACAUCAUCACCUUGCAAGCUUCCGCACGCGAUCUACAAGUGGUAUGUAGAUGCAAACUCUCUCCCUUGACUCGUUGCUUAGAAGAACUCAUAGAUGGAUCUUGGUGAAACCGUAGGAAAAAUUUUAAUUUUCUGCAACGUUCCCCAACAGUGGCAUCAUGAGCUAGGUCUAUGCGUAGUUCUCUUUGCACGAGUAGAACACAAUUUUGUUGUGGGCGUGGAUUUUGUCAUCUUACUUGCCUCUACUAGUCUUUUCUUGCUCAACGGUAUUGUGGGAUGAAGCGGCCCGGACCAACCUUACACGUACGCUUACAUGAGACCGGUUCCACCGACUGACAUGCACUAGUUGCAUAAGGUGGCUGGCGGGUGUCUGUCUCUCCCACUUUAGUUGGAGCGGAAUCGAUGAACAGGGCCCUUAUGAAGGGUAAAUAGAAGUUGACAAAAUCACGUUGUGGUGAUUCGUAGGUAAGAAAACGUUCUUGCUAGAACCCAAUUGCAGCCACGUAAAAGAUGCAACAACAAUUAGAGGACGUCUAACUUGUUUUUGCAGCGAUUGAUCAUGUGAUGUGAUAUGGCCAGAAGUUGUGAUGAAUGAUGAAUUGUGAUGUAUGAGAUCAUGUUCUUUGUAAUAGGAUUCACGACUUGCAUGUCGAUGAGUAUGACAACCAGCAGGAGCCAUAGGAGUUGUCUUUAUUUUUUGUAUGACCUGCAUGUCAUUGAAGAACGCCAUGUAACUCACUUUACUUUAUUGCUAAACGCGUUAGCCAUAGAAGUAGAAGUAGUCGUUGGCGUGACAACUUCAUGAAGACACGAUGAUGGAGAUCAUGAUGAUGGAGAUCAUGGUGUCAAGCCGGUGACAAGAUGAUCAUGGAGCCCCGAAGAUGAAGAUCAAUGGAGCUAUAUGAUAUUGGCCAUAUCAUGUCACAACUAUAUAAUUGCAUGUGAUGUUUAUUAUGUUUUGCAUCUUGUUUACUUAGGACGACGGUAGUAAAUAAGAUGAUCCCUUACAAAAAAUUUCAAGAAGUGUUCUCCCCUAACUGUGCACCGUUGCUACAGUUCGUCGCUUCUAAGCACCACGUGAUGAUCGGGUGUGAUGGAUUCUUACGUUCACAUACAACGGGUGUAAGACAGUUUUACACAGCGAAAACACUUAGGGUUAACUUGACGAGCCUAGCAUGUGCAGACAUGGCCUCGGAACACGGAGACCGAAAGGUCGAACACGAAUCGUAUGGAAGAUACGAUCAACAUGAGAAUGUUCACCGACGAUGACUAGUCCGUCUCACGUGAUGAUCCGACACGGGCUAGUCGACUCGGAUCGUGUAACACUUAGAUGACUAGAGGGAUGUCUAAUCUAAGUGGGAGUUCAUAAUUUGAUUAGAACUUUAUUAUCAUGAACUUAGUCUAAAACCUUUGCAAAUAUGUCUUGUAGAUCAAUGGCCAACGCUAACGUAAACAUGAACUUCAACGCGUUCCUAGAGAAAACCAAGCUGAAAGAUGAUGGCAGCAACUAUACGGACUGGGUCCAGAACCUGAGGAUCAUCCUCAUAGCUGCCAGGAAACAAUAUGUCCUAGAAGGACCGCUAGGUGACGCUCCCAUCCCAGAGAACCAAGACAUUAUGAAUGCUUGGCAGUCUCGUGCUGAUGAUUACUCCCUCGUUCAGUGCGGCAUGCUUUACAGCUUAGAACCGGGGCUCCAAAAGCGUUUUGAGCACCACGGAGCAUAUGAGAUGUUCGAAGAGCUGAAACUAGUUUUUCAAGCUCAUGCCCGGGUCGAGAGAUAUGAUGUCUCCGACAAGUUCUACAGUUGUAAGAUGGAGGAAAACAGUUCUGUCAGUGAGCACAUCCUGAAGAUGUCUGGGUUGCACAACCGUAUGACCCAGCUAAACAUUAACCUCCCAGAUGAGGCGGUCAUUGACAGAAUCCUCCAGUCGCUCCCACCAAGCUACAAGAGCUUUGUGAUGAACUACAACAUGCAGGGGAUGGAAAAGACCAUUCCUGAAGUGUUCUCGAUGCUGAAGUCAGCAGAGGCUGAAAUCAAGAAAGAACAUCAAGUGUUGAUGGUCAAUAAGACCACUAAGUUCAAGAAGGGCAAGGGUAAGAAGAACUUCAAGAAGGACGGCAAAGAUGUUGCCGCGCCUGGUAAGCCAGUUGCCGGGAAGAAGUCAAAGAAUGGACCUAAGCCUGAGACUGAGUGCUUUUAUUGCAAAGGGAAGGGUCACUGGAAGCGGAACUGCCCCAAAUACUUAGCGGAUAAGAAGGCCGGCAACACCAAAGGUAUAUUUGAUAUACAUGUGAUUGAUGUGUACCUUACCAGUACUCGUAGUAACUCCUGGGUAUUUGAUACCGGUGUCGUUGCUCAUAUUUGUAACUCACAGCAGGAGCUGCGGAAUAAACGGAGACUGGCGAAGGACGAGGUGACGAUGCGCGUCGGGAAUGGUUCCAGAGUCGAUGUGAUCGCCGUCGGCACGCUGCCUCUACAUUUACCUACGGGAUUAGUUUUGAACCUUAAUAAUUGUUAUUUAGUGCCAAGUUUGAGCAUGAACAUUGUAUCUGGAUCUCGUUUAAUACGAGAUGGCUACUCAUUUAAGUCUGAGAAUAAUGGUUGUUCGAUUUAUAUGAGAGAUAUGUUUUAUGGUCAUGCUCCGAUGGUCAAUGGUUUAUUCUUAAUGAAUCUCGAGCGUAAUAUUACACAUGUUCAUAGUGUAGAUGCCAAAAGAUUUAAAGUUGAUAACGAUAGUCCCACAUACUUGUGGCACUGCCGCCUUGGUCACAUUGGUGUCAAGCGCAUGAAGAAGCUCCAUGCCGAUGGACUUUUAGAGUCUCUUGAUUAUGAAUCGUUUGACACGUGCGAACCAUGCCUUUUGGGCAAAAUGACCAAGACUUCGUUCUCCGGAACAAUGGAGCGAGCAACCAACUUGUUGGAAAUCAUACAUACCGAUGUGUGCGGUCCAAUGAGCGUUGAGGCUCGCGGAGGAUAUCGUUAUGUUCUCACUCUCACUGAUGACUUGAGUAGAUAUGGGUAUGUCUACUUAAUGAAACACAAGUCUGAGACCUUUGAAAAGUUCAAGGAAUUUCAGAAUGAGGUAGAGAAUCAACGUGACCGAAAGAUAAAAUUCUUACGAUCAGAUCGUGGAGGAGAAUACUUAAGUCACGAAUUUGGUACACACUUAAGGAAAUGUGGAAUUGUUUCACAGCUCACGCCGCCUGGAACACCUCAGCGAAACGGUGUGUCCGAACGUCGUAAUCGCACCCUAUUGGAUAUGGUGCGAUCUAUGAUGUCUCUUACCGAUUUACCGCUAUCAUUUUGGGGAUACGCUCUAGAGACAGCUACAUUCACUUUAAAUAGGGCACCGUCUAAAUCCGUUGAGACGACACCGUAUGAAUUAUGGUUUGGAAAGAAACCUAAGCUAUCGUUUCUAAAAGUUUGGGGAUGCGAUGCUUAUGUCAAGAAACUUCAACCUGAAAAGCUCGAACCCAAGUCGGAAAAAUGCGUAUUCAUAGGAUACCCUAAGGAAACUGUAGGGUAUACCUUCUACUUAAGAUCCGAAGGCAAGAUCUUUGUUGCCAAGAACGGAUGCUUUCUGGAAAAAGAGUUUCUCUCGAAAGAAGUAAGUGGGAGGAAAGUAGAACUCGAUGAAGUACUACCUCUUGAGCGGGAAAGUGGCGCAGCGCAGGAAACCGUUCCUGUGAUGCCCACACCAACUGAAGAGGAAAACAAUGAUGAUGAUCAAGGUACUUCGGAUCAAGUUACUGCUGAACUUCGUAGGUCCACAAGGACACGUUCCGCACCAGAGUGGUACGGCAACCCUGUCCUGGAAAUCAUGUUGUUAGACAACAAUGAACCUUCGAACUAUGAAGAAGCGAUGGCGGGCCCGGAUUCCAACAAAUGGCUUGAAGCCAUGAAAUCCGAGAUAGAAUCCAUGUAUGAAAACAAAGUAUGGACUUUGACAGACUUGCCCGAUGAUCGGUGAGCGAUAGAAAACAAAUGGAUCUUUAAGAAGAAGACGGACGCGGAUGGUAAUGUUACCAUCUAUAAGGCUCGACUUGUCGCUAAGGGUUAUCGACAAGUUCAAGGGAUUGACUACGACGAGACAUUCUCUCCCGUAGCGAAGCUGAAGUCCGUCCGAAUCAUGUUAGCAAUUGCCGCAUACUAUGAUUAUGAGAUAUGGCAAAUGGACGUCAAAACGGCAUUCCUUAACGGACAUCUUAAGGAAGAACUGUAUAUGAUGCAGCCGGAAGGUUUUGUCGAUCCUCGGAACGCUAACAAAGUAUGCAAGCUCCAGCGAUCCAUUUAUGGACUGGUGCAAGCAUCUCAGAGUUGGAACAUUCGCUUUGAUGAGAUGAUCAAAGCGUUUGGGUUUAUGCAGACUUAUGGAGAAGCCUGCGUUUACAAGAAAGUGAGUGGGAGCUCUGUAGCAUUUCUCAUAUUAUAUGUAGAUGACAUACUCUUGAUGGGAAAUAAUAUAGAAUUUCUGGACAGCAUUAAGGCCUACUUGAAUAAGUGUUUUUCAAUGAAGGACCUUGGAGAAGAUGCUUAUAUAUUAGGCAUCAAGAUCUAUAGAGAUAGAUCGAGACGCCUCAUAGGUCUUUCACAAAGCACAUACCUUGAUAAGAUUUUGAAGAGGUUCAAAAUGGAUCAGUCCAAGAAGGGGUUCUUGCCUAUGUUACAAGGUGUGAGAUUGAGCUCGGCUCAGUCACCGACCACGGCAAAAGAUAAAGAAGAGAUGAGUGUCAUCCCCUAUGCUUCAGCCAUAGGAUCUAUUAUGUAUGCCAUGCUGUGUACCAGACCCGAUGUAAACCUUGCCGUAAGUUUGGUAGCAAGAUACCAAAGUAAUCCCGGCAAGGAACACUGGACAGCGGUCAAGAAUAUCCUGAAGUACCUGAAAAGGACGAAGGACAUGUUUCUCGUUUAUGGAAGAGACGAAGAGCUCGUCGUAAAGGGUUACGUCGAUGCUAGCUUCGACUCAGAUCUGGAUGACUCUAAGUCACAAACCGGAUACGUGUAUAUGUUGAAUGGUGGAGUAAUAAGCUGGUGCAGCUGCAAGCAGAGCGUCGUGGCGGGAUCUACGUGUGAAGCGGAGUACAUGGCAGCCUCGGAGGCAGCGCAUGAAGCAAUUUGGGUGAAGGAGUUCAUCACCGACCUAGGAGUCAUACCCAAUGCGUCGUGGCCGAUCAAACUCUUCUGUGACAACACUGGAGCUAUUGCCCUCGCCAAGGAGCCCAGGUUUCACAAGAAGACCAGGCACAUCAAGCGUCGUUUCAACUCCAUCCGUGAAAAUGUUCAAGAUGGAGACAUAGAGAUUUGCAAAGUGCACACGGAUCUGAAUGUCGCAGAUCCGCUGACUAAACCUCUCUCGCGUGCAAAACAUGAUCAACACCAGAACUCUAUGGGUGUUCGAUUCAUCACAAUGUAACUAGAUUGGUGACUCUAGUGCAAGUGGGAGACUGUUGGAAAUAUGCCCUAGAGGCAAUAAUAAAAGUAUUAUUAUAUUUCAAUGUUCAUGAUAAUGUCUUUUAUUCAUGCUAUAACUGUAUUAUCCGGAAAUCGUAAUACACGUGUGAAUACUUAGACCACAAUAUGUCCCUGGUGAGCCUCUAGUUGACCAGCUCGUUGUGAUCAACAGAUAGUCAUGGUUUCCUGACUAUGGACAUUGGAUGUCGUUGAUAACGGGAUCACAUCAUUAGGAGAAUGAUGUGAUGGACAAGACCCAAUCCUAAGCAUAGCAUAAAAGAUCGUGUAGUUCGUUUUGCUAGAGCUUUGCCAGUGUCAAGUAUCUCUUCCUUCGACCAUGAGAUCGUGUAACUCCCGGAUACCGUAAGAGUGCCUUGGGUGUAUCAAACGUCACAACGUAACUGGGUGACUAUAAAGGUGCAUUACAGGUAUCUCCGAAAGUAUCUGUUGGGUUGACACGGAUCGAGACUGGGAUUUGUCACUCCGUAUGACGGAGAGGUAUCUCUGGGCCCACUCGGUAAUGCAUCAUCAUUAUGAGCUCAAUGUGACCAAGGUGUUGGACACGGGAUCAUGCAUUACGGUACGAGUAAAGUGACUUGCCGGUAACGAGACUGAACAAGGUAUUGGGAUACCGACGAUCGAGUCUCGGGCAAGUAACGUACCGAUUGACAAAGGGAAUUGCAUACAGGGUUUGAUCGAAUCCUCCACAUAGUGGUUCAUCCGAUGACAACAUCGAGGAGCAUGUGGGAGCUAUCAUGGGUAUCCAGAUCCCGCUGUUGGUUAUUGACUGAGAGCGUCUCGGUCAUGUCUGCAUGUCUCCCGAACCCGUAGGGUCUACACACUUAAGGUUCGGUGACGCUAGGGUUAUUAGGAAGACUAGUAUGUGACUACCGAAUGUUGUUCGGAGUCCCGGAUGGGAUCCUGGACGUCACGAGGAGAUCCGGAAGGGUCCGGAGGUAAAGAUUUAUAUAUGGGAAGUUGUCAAACGGACACCGGGAAGUUUCGGGGUCAUACCGGUAUUGUACCGGGGCCACCGGAAGGGUUCCGGGGGUCCACCGGGAGGGGCCACCCCUCCCGGGGGGGCACAUGGGCUGCGUGGGGCAGGGAGCCAGCCCCUGGUGGGCUGGCCGCACCCCCCUCCCUUGGGCCCAUGCGCCUAGGGUUGAGGGGGAACCCUAGAGGGGGCGCCCCCCUUGGCUUGGGGGGCAAGCCACCCUCUCCCCUCUCCCCUAGGCCGCCGCACCCCCCCCUAGAUGGGUUCUAGGGGGCCGGCCCCCUUCUCCCUUCCCCCUAUAAAUAGAGGGGUGAGGGGAGGGCAGCCGUACCACCCUCCAAGGCGCAGCCCUCCCCUCCCCAACACCUCUCCUCCUCCAUUGUGUGCUUGGCGAAGCCCUGUCGGAGUACUGCCUCUCCACCAUCACCACGCCGCCGUGCUGCCGGUGGAGCUGUCUUCCUCAACCUCUCCUUCCCCCUUGCUGGAUCAAGAAGGAGGAGACGUCUCCCGUCCCGUACGUGUGUUGAACGCGGAGGUGCUGUCCGUUCAGCACUUGGUCAUCGGUGAUUCGAAUCACGUCGAGUACGACUACAUCAUCACCUUGCAAGCUUCCGCACGCGAUCUACAAGUGGUAUGUAGAUGCAAACUCUCUCCCUUGACUCGUUGCUUAGAAGAACUCAUAGAUGGAUCUUGGUGAAACCGUAGGAAAAAUUUUAAUUUUCUGCAACGUUCCCCAACAAACCUAACAAGAACGAGAGUGGGCUCCCUCCUGCCGAUAGGGGCCAAGAUCCACCGCACCUCCACGACCCAAAGGCCAUCAAAGGCGGGGCACCAACAGGAGGAAGAGGAAACCUGAUUGCCUGGGGUCUUUUGUUCAAGAGGAGGAAAGAACGAUGUGGAUUUUCCAUGAAUUUAUGGAUAUUUAUGGGUCGGCGCGGGUCAAAUGUGUUGAAUAUAUCAUCAAAAGCAUAGUAUCGAAUCCGUAUAUGAAUAAAGUUUCUAAACAUACAAAUUUGUUGGUAUAUCCCGUGCAAGAGAAAUUGUUGGUAUAUAACACAUACUUUGUUACUAAAAAAUCGAGUAUUUCGAACCAUGCACAGAGUGCUAUUUGUUUUGAUUCUGAUAAGGGCAUAUCCAACGCCAUCCAUCAAAACAGACAUGCAAAUUAUCCGCGGGUAGCGCUAGCCAAGCUGGGCAUCCAACCUGGUGCAUCAAAUAAAAAUGGACACAUCAUUUAAUAGUAGGGUAUUUUUUACAUAGCAAAAGUUGCUGACCCUGGUCUACUCUUCCCUUGUCGUGGGCAUGUCAGUCUCCCACCUCCCGCUCUUUGUUGGACAUGGGCACUUCCAUGUCACACGUGCUACUCUUUCUCAUAGGAGUCCGCCGCCUAGUCGCUAAUGUCGCCGGUGGAGGUGAGGUCAAUGAUCGACGUGGACGGUUCGGCCUCGUGGUUGUUGCGGCGCACAUGAAUGACACGUAGUCACCGACGUUGGCAGUGAUGAGUCCAAUUUAUGUGAUAAUUUUACUAAGUAUUUUGUGCCUAUAUGGUAGGCUUUAUGGAAUUUUACCGCGUUCGCGCACCUCCUUUUGUUAAUAAUCUCUUAGGUAACGCUUUUUGGAUCAUUUAGCUUAAUAUGGAAGAAAUCUACAGAAAUGGUAGUGGAAUCACCUAUUUAAAGUGAUAAUCACCUACCAAUCAAGCAAGAAGGCCAAAGAAGGAAUCGUCGCCGCGCUUCCAGAGCAAAAGAUGGUGUCCCAUGCGACCGCGCCUUCUCGCAUGGGCGGUCGUAUGGAGUGCCAAUACCGCCGCCGGAUCGACUAAUUCCACCCGAAGAUCAUUUGGAGGAGGGAUUAACAAGGAGAAGGGGGCUAUUUUCCUCCUCACGCACAAGGUGCUACAACAUCAUCACCACCGUCAUCAUCAGCAUUAUCCACAUCCUUACCAUUGUAACCUCAGGAACCCUAGUGGACCAUCUUGUGUGUUAUUCGAAUCAUCCAUCCAUGUAUGCCAUCACCCUUGUCAUGAUGUUUGUUGUCUCCACGUGUGAGUAGACCCCUAGUUCUCGGGGAUAUGAUGAACCUUGGUAUGUGUAGGAUCUGAAACGUUAUUUUAGAUAUGAGAUCCUCUGUUGAACGCUUAGGUUAAUAACUUUUUGAAUGUUACUCAUCAUUUGUGCCUUAUGACCAUGAAUUAUAUUAUUGUCAUUGUAAAGGGCUAGGAUGUGAAGGUAAUUCAAGGUGACAGUCAAAGCCUUUACUCCUGACCUUUGCAAUUGAUGGGGCUAUUACGAAGAACCCUUAGAGAAGCCGUGUCCACGGGGCAAAUUCUUAAUUAUCAUGAGUUGUAACCCUAUGGGGAAGACUAUGAUGGUGGCGUGUGUGGCACGAAGUCUACUUCGAGUAGAAUGUGUUCUGUACCCGGAUCCGCCCAGCAUAAUCAUCAAGAGUGGCUCAAGUAUCCAUAACAUACUAUGCCCAAGCAUAUGUGUGCUAGAAACAUACCAAUGGGGAUUCCAGACUCCCUGAGAACGCCUUACUCCUUUGUUGUUCCAUCAGUUAUUCCAGUCAUUAUUCUCUAUUUACUUUUAUGUUAUUUACUUCAAAGUUUGUUCCAUUACUCAAUUACAGUUUAUUUGCGCCCUCACUUUGCUUCGAGUCUACAAUUAUCUACAAGCAUAAAAGUACAUAAUUUGCUACAACAAGCAAAAUUCUGAUUCCGCUGCUCCCUGUGGGAUCGAUACUCUUACAUCGAAAAUGCUACAACUAAAUCCUAUGCACUUGAAGGCCAUCAGGCAGCGUCACCGUCUGUGAUCGUUUGCGUCGCCUCUGCCUCAAUCUUCUCAAAGAGGGGGGGGGUCGCACUCUGCCUCCAUGACGUGGAGCUGCCAAUGCACAUGACGGAUGGUGCAGGCAUUGCGCAAGAACUCGUAGAGCGCCCACUGCUUGUUGACGAAGCCCUGAUCGUCCAUGUCCAUGUCAGCGAUGACUCGUUCGCUAAAGAUCUAGGCUCCGCGAGCUAGUGCUGCUUGAGGAGCUCUAGAUUGUACUGAUGCUCCUCCUACAUCAUCCGAAACGCGGAGACUGGCAGCACCGCCUGCUCCGGUUGCUCGUAUGAAAGGAUUGAUAUAGUUGACUAGAGGGGGGGUGAAUAGGCAACUAACAAUUUUUAGUUUUUCUUUACCAAUUUAAAAUUUGCAUCAAAGUAGGUUAUCUAAAUACGCAACUAGGUGAGAAACCUAUAUGAUGCAACAACAACAAGCACACAAGCAAGUAAGGGAUACAACACAAUAUAAGUUUGCACAAGUAAACGUGAGAGAUAACCAAUAGUGGAGGCGGUAGAGACAAGGAUGUGUUACUGAAAUUCCUUCCCUUUGAGAGGAAGUACGUCUCCGUUGGAGUGGUGUGGGGGCACAAUGCUCCCCAAGAAGCCACUAUGGCCACCGUAUUCUCCUCACGCCCUCACACAAUGCGAGCUGUCGUGAUUCCACUAUUGGUGCCCUUGAAGGCGGCGACUGAACCUUUACAAACAAGGUUGGAGCUCUCUCCACAACUGAAUUGGAGGCUCCCAAUGAAACCACGGAGCUUCACCAUAAUGGAAUGUGGCUUCGAGGUGACCUCAACCGUCUAGGAUGCUCAAACACCCAAGAGUAACAAAAUCCACACAAGAAAGUAUGGGGGAAUCAAAUAUCCUUUGGUGGAAGUGUAGAUCUAGGUCUCCUCCUUCAAUCACUAGCAAAUCAACAAGUUUGAGUGGCUAGAGAGAGAGAGAGAUCGGGCAAGAAAGCUUGAAGGGCAUUAAUGGUGAAGAGAGAGAGAGGCAAGAGGCAAUGGUGGUAGGUGGAAGAACCUCCCUUACAUAGCAAACCCUAAAAUCCAACCGUUACUGCGAAAACAGCACUGCAGCGGUACAACUGCUCCUUGUACCGGGACUCACGGGUAUACUCCAGAAACCCUACCAAGAGGUACAACCGGACAGACAAGUGGUAGUACCGGUUGUGAAGAACAAUCAGAACAACCACUCCGACACCGCUCAACCACCGCUUUGAAAUAGAAUGGAGUCACCCCUAUGAGCGGUGAUCGAGCGGUACUGCGCCGAUGCAACCGCCUGGCCCUGGUACCCUGGGUGGCUAAGUCCUAAGUGGUAGAACCGCUUAGGGCAUCGGUGGUACCGGUGUGUGGAGCACAACCGGAACAACUGGGCCACCACCGCCUGAGUACCGCAUCAAACCAGAACCAUGUCCGGUAGUUGAGCGGUACUUGGCCGGUUUAACCGCCAAUGAGCUCCACGGUUCUUUUUAACCGUGGUGGCGGUACCAUCGCCCGGGGGCAGCGGUACAACCGCUUGGUCAUAUAAUGGGAAGAUCAACCCCAGGGUAUCACCCCUGGGGUGGUGGUUGGGCCGGUACCAAGGGCCAGCGGUACAACCGCUCGAGCGAGCGGUACAACCGCUCAGAGCUCACAACAACAGUUGAAAAAUAAGGAGAGCUCUCUCUCAAGCAAGGAACGGAAGGCCAGGGUGGGUGAGGAAAAAGUGUACGUGCAAUGAUUCACCCAACUCCUUCCGAUGUGGAUUCCCUCUUAAUAGUACGAGUUUCCUACGGCCAAAGAGAUAAACAAGUAGGCAAACACCGUCUUCAAUCUUUUCCUUCCAAAGAGAAUAACUAAACAAUGCAAGCCUAAUCCCGAGAACCUGAAGCACUUAACACAAGAUUAUACCAACAGAGAGUUGUCAUCAUCAUCCAAAAACACAAGGUGAGCUUACAAUCUCCCCCUUUUUGGUGGAUGAUGACAACAACACAAUUUGCAAAAAUAGAGGUCUAGAAAAUAUAGAUGGGACUCCCCCUAGAUGUGUGCACUAUUUUGAAUUUGCUUUUGGAAUGCAAAGGCACACAUUAGGAGCAAGACUCCCCCUAGAUUUUAUAGACCCACCACUCCUACUAGACAUGCGAAGAUAAGCAGUAAGCGCAUAAUAGGAAAGUAAAGACUUAAAGGAUAACCGACAUAAUGAUAGAUAGAGGAGCGCAUGUCUCACACCAUGCAAGACGAGAUAAGUAACAAGAUCCACAAACUGAAGUUCAUCAUAAAGCACAAAAAACACAAACCCAAGAAAAUCCCAUGCAAAUACCGAGACCUAAUAGAACUCUCUCCCCCUUUGGCAUCAAGACACCAAAAAGGAAAAGAGCGAAGCUAGCGCCCCAAUGCUCAGUAGUCCUCCUCUGACUCCUCGGUCGCAUCUGGAUUCUCAUCAUCAGACUCCUCAUCAUCGUCCUUGUUAGCGUCCUCCAUGAGAUCAUCAGCGACAACAAAGGAGGUAGAAGGCUGGCCAUGAGCCUCAUCAUCUGACCAUGUGUUGUGCGCAGAGAUCCACCGGUCCUCAGGGGUGAUGCUCUUCUCAGAUCCACUCUUGACAGGCAUGUUGAGGUGCCUCAUCAUAGCAAUCUGACGAUGCCUGGCAAGCUUCUCAUUGACAUGGGUCUCAUACAUCCACUUCUGAAUGCCAGUCUGGAGGCAGAAGGUCUUCUUUACUUUAGCGGUGAGCUUGGUCACCCAUGAAGGCUUGGCCACUGGCCCCAUCUCAAAGUCCUCAUCAUCUGAAGUGGCAUAGACAUCCUCGGGAUCAUUAGCCGGAAAGAGAGGCUCGGCAUGCUUCUUCUUCUUGAGUUACUUGACCUCAUGCACGGUGAGGUUAUCUGGAGAAGUGAGAAGCUCUCCAGGGUGGCGAACAGCCCAAACUGAGUUCAGAAAGCACAUGACCAAAGGAGCAUAAAUGGGGACCUUUCUGUAGAUGACCAUGCUAUACAUCUCAUGCCACAUCCAGUUGGACACAUCAAAGGUAGCACCAGACCCUACCUUGGUCUUCAUAGAAACAAGCAAAGUCAACUAGGUGCCCAUAGACCUCAUCCUAAUUGCCAACCUUGGGCAAAAGCACAUUGCAAAACACUCGAUGCAUGAUGUCAUAGACCUUCUCAAGAUCCUUGGAUUCUCCAGUAAUGCCUUGUCCACGAAUGUAUAGAGGAGCAAGUUUAUCCUUAGGCAUGGAAUGGGGAUGGUCGUGAGGACGAAUGCCACCAUUCCCUUCGAGACCGGUGUCCUCAUACCCAAUGGCAUUGUAGAAGGCCCUCCAGGGCACUUGAAAGAGCUCGUCAUGGCACAUGAACGAAAGAGUGCGAGCGUCAUCUUCUCCAAAGUGAACACUGGCAUAAAACUGAUGGAUAAGCUGAACAUCAAAGUCACAGUUGACAGACAUGAGCUUGACCAAGUCAAACUCCUCACACAGAGCCAGGGCCUCCCCAAAGUAAUCCAAGUUGCUCCUCCAGUGAUCAAGAUAAAUAGUCCACUGCUUGGCAUACCUAUUCUUGUUGUGCUCAAAGACUUCAUGAAAAAUCCUGACUUGCAUCUCAUUCCGGAACUGAAUGGUGGUCCAACGAGGCGCAAUGGGAACCUCGUAUGGAUUUUUGUCCGAAAGGCUUCCCAAUCCUUGGCUUUCCAUCGGUGCAGGGGCAUGACCACACGUUGCUUGGCAGCGGCAGACUUCUCACGGCGAGUGGUCUUGGUGAGAAUCACAAGUUCUUCUUCUCCAUCAGAUUCAACUGGGCGCUUGCAUCUCCGAACCCUCUAUUGGUCUUAGUACAAGGAGCAAAGCGAGAACCAGAGCCUCCGGAAUCCAUGGGAAGAGGUCGGGAAGGAGGGGGACUCCAUGAAGCGGAUCCACGGAGAGCCUACGGAUCCGGAUCGCGACAAGCACUCCGGGGCAGGGGCAAUGGCGACUGGCGGCUAGGGCAGGAGAUGGAGGAGGAAAGGGGAUAAGCGGAAAAGGGGAAAAUAAAACCCCUUUGGCCCCGACCCUAUAUAUAUGCCCGCAGAUGCGAAGUGGUUGUACCACUCCUUGGAGCGGUUGUACCGCUUCCUGAUACACACCAGUGGUUGCGGGCGGUGAUACGUCUCCAACGUAUCUAUAAUUUUUUAUUGCUCCAUGCUAUUAUAUUAUCUAUUUUGGAUGUUAAUGGGCUUUAUUUUACACUUUUAUAUCAUUUUUGGGACUAACCUACUAACCGGAGGCCCAGCCCAACUUGCUGUUUUUUUUGCCUAUUUUAGGGUUUCGAAGAAAAGGAACAUCAAAUGGAGUCCAAACAGAAUGAAACCUUCGGUAACAUGAUUUUCUCAACAAACGUGAUCCAGGAGACUUGGAGUGGCCGUCAAGAAACAAGGGAGGAAGGCACGAGGCAGGGAGGCGCGCCUACCCCCUGGGUGCGCCCUCCACCCUCGUGGGCCCUCCGUUGCUCCACCGACGUACUUCUUCCUCCUAUAUAAGUCCACGUACCCCCAAAUAUCCAGGAGCACCAUGAAAACCUAAUUCCACCAUUGCAACCUUCCGUACCCGAGAGAUCCCAUCUUGGGGCCUUUUCCGGAGCUCCGCCGGAGGGGGCAUUGAUCACGGAGGGCCUCUAUAUCAACUCCAUGGCCUCUCCAGUGAUGUGUGAGUAGUUUAUUUUAGACCUAUGGGUCCAUAGUUAUUAGCUAGAUGGCUUCUUCUCUCUCUUUGGAUCUCAAUACAAAGUUCUCCUCGAUCUUCUUGGAGAUCUAUUCGAUGUAAUCUUCUUUUGCGGUGUGUUUGUCGAGAUCUGAUGAAUUGUGGGUUUAUCAUCUAGAUUAUAUAUGAACAAUAUUUGUUUCUCCUCUGAAUUCUUUUAUGUAUGCUUGGUUUAUCUUUGCAAGUCUCUUCGAAUUAUCAGUUUGGUUUGGCCUACUAGAUUGAUCUUUCUUGCAAUACGAGAAGUGCUUAGCUUUGGGUUCAAUCUUGUGGUGCUCGAUCCCAGUGACAGAAAGGGAACCGACACGUAUUGUAUUGUUGCCAUCGAGGAUAAAAAGAUGGGGUUUAUAUCAUAUUGCAUGAGUUUAUCCCUCUACAUCAUGUCAUCUUCCUUAAAGCAUUACUCUGUUCUUAUGAACUUAAUACUCUAGAUGCAUGCUGGAUAGCGGUCGAUGUGUGGAGUAAUAGUAGUAGAUGCAGGCAGGAGUCGGUCUACUUGUCUCGGACGUUAUGCCUAUAUACAUGAUCAUACCUAGAUAUUCUCAUAACUAUGCUCAAUUCUAUCAAGUGCUCGACAGUAAUUCGUUUACCCACCGUAAUACUUAUGCUCUUGAGAGAAGCCACUAGUGAAACCUAUGGCCCCCGGGUCUAUCUUCCAUCAUAUUAAUCUUCCAAUACUUAGUUAUUUCUUUUGCCUUUUAUUUUACUUUGCAUCUUUAUCAUAAAAAUACCAAAAAUAUUAUCUUAUCAUAUCUAUCAGAUCUCACUCUCGUAAGUGACCGUGAAGGGCUUGACAACCCCUUUAUCGCAUUGGUUGCGAGGUUCUUAUUUGAGCGUGAUCUCCUACUGGAUUGAUACCUUGGUUCUCAAAAACUGAGGGAAAUACUUACACUACUUUGCUGCAUCACCCUUUCCUCUUCAAGGGAAAACCAAUGCAGUGCUCAAGAGGUAGCAGGCGGUACUUCGGUUGCCUGGAAGGCAACUGUAGUACCACCUGUAACCGAGCGGUAGUACCGGCCAGGAGCACAACCUGGGAUCGAGCGGUGGAACUGCUCAGACACCCCUGGGAGUCCUCCCGGGACGGUACAGACCGGGUGUACUAGCGGUUGAACCGCUAGGGCCACCGUUUGUACUGCCCAGUCAGCAUUACCCAUACCAAGAUCAAGAUGUGUGCAAUUGGAAUAGAUGUUUAUGAGAUAGAUAAGGGCUUGGGAUGGAGCAAGACAUUGGGAUAUGGUGGGAUGAUCUCCAAGAGCAAGAAGCAACCAACGAGAAAAACCUCAACUUGGAGAUCACAACACCUAGGACCUGACAAAGGACAAGUGAAGAGCGAAAAAGACCCAAGGAAACCAACUCCAACUCCCCUUCAAAACGAAGGGCGGUGGCCGAGGCCACCUAUGUUUGAGUGUAAAGGUAUGGCACCGCAAAGAUUUUAACCUUGGGCCCAUUACCAAAACUCAUCUUUGAAGCACAAGUACCAUAAAAAAUGGCUAAUGUGAAAGACUUGAUCAAUUUAUGCAUAAUGGGGGGAGGAAGAGUUCAUUGAGAGAACAAUACCCCUCCUAUGUCCAUGCCUACACCUAGAACAGGACAUCACGAUGAGUAUGGUGGGGUGUACAAAGGUUCAAGCCACAUUGAUCGAAUCAAUGAUAUUUAGCUCAUGCAUUAACUCACGAAAUCUUGCUUCAUCCAAUGCUUCGUGAAGAUAUCUGCAAGGUUAUCAUGAUUGUUGACAUAGUUGAGCUCGAUCUCCCCUCGCCUAAUGUGAUCCCAGAUGAAGUGAUACCGAAUCUCAAUAUGCUUCGUCUUCAAGUGUUGCACCGGGUUGAGAGAAAUCUUGAUGGCACUUUCAUUGUCACACCAAAGAGGCACUUUGUCACAAAUGACACCGUAAUCCUUUCAAGUUUGCCUCAUCCAUAGAAGUUGUGCACAACAACUACCGGCAGCCACAUACUCCGCUUCGGUGGACGAGAGAGACACACAACUUUGCUUCUUAGAAGACCAACUCACUAAAGAGCAAGCAAAGAAAUUGACACCCUCUAGAAGUUGACUUCCUAUCCACUUUGUCUCCUGCCCAAUCUGAGUCCGAAAAGGCCACAAGGUUGAAGUUUGCUCCUCUUGGGUACCAUAAGCCAAAGUUUGGGGUAUGAGCCAAAUAUCUAAAGAUUUGCUUGACCGCCACAUAGUGGCUUUCCUUAGGUGCGGCUUGAAACCGUGCACAAAUUCCCACACUUAACAUGAUAUCCGGUCUAGAUGCACAAAGAUAAAGCAAGGAGCCAAUCAUGGAGCGAUAUACCUUUUGAUCCACCACUUUACCAUUGGGAUCUAUGUGAAGUUGGCAUUUGACAGGCAUCAGAGUGGAAGCCGGCUUGACAUCACUUAGCUUGAAUCUCUUGAGCAUGUCUUGAGUAUAUUUGGCUUGUUUGAUGAAGGUUCCUUCUCUUCUUUGCUUGAUUUCGAACCCGAGAAAAAACUUCAACUCUCCCAUCAUGAACAUCUUAAACUUCGAGGUUAUGAGAGCGGCAAAUUCCUCAUUGAAAGCUUUGUUAGGGGAACCAAAGAUAAUAUCAUCAACAUAUAGUUGGCAUACAAACAACUCCCCUUUGAGCUUCUUAGUAAAAAGAGUGCGGUCGAUUUUCCCAAUUUCAAACCCACGAUCUUGCAACAACUCGGUAAGGUGCUCAUACCACGCAUGUGGGGCUUGUUUAAGGCCAUAUAGUGCCUUACCGAGUUGGUACACAUGAUCGGGGAAAUAGGGAUCCUCGAACCCCGGGGGUUGUUUGACAUACAUCAACUCAUUAAUAGGACCAUUAAGUAAAGCACUCUUCACAUCCAUUUGUUGCAAAUUGAAGUUAUGAUGAGAGGCAUAAGCAAUCAACAAACGAAUAGAUUCAAGGCGAACAACGGGAGCAAAGGUUUCACCAUAGUCGAUACCCUCGACUUGGGAGUAGCCUUGUGCUACCAACCGAGCCUUGUUGCGAACGAUAAUCCCAUGAGCAUCUUGUUUGUUCUUGAAUAUCCACUUGGUUCCAAUGACAUUAUGGUUCCCGGUUGGCCUUGGCACCAAUAUCCACACCUUGUUGUGCUCAAAGUUGUUGAGUUCUUCAUGCAUGGCAUUAAGCCAAUCCGGAUCCUCGAGCGCCUCAUAGACCUUUUGGGGUUCAACACAAGAAACAAAUGCGUGAUGUUCACAAUAGUUUGCUAAUUGUCUAUGAGUGCUUACCCCCUUUCUUAAGCUUCCAAGAGCACUAUUCAUGAGAUGAUCUUUGGUACUGAGCUUGGAUGCAAUCUUAGCGACACGACGCUCUAAUUCCUCCUCGGGAGUAAGUUGAGGAGCGGUAGCUUGAUCAUCUUGAGCGUCGUUUUGAGCCUGUUCUUGAUCAUGAGCUUGAUCUUGAUCUUGAACUUGCUAGAAGGUGAGAACUUGACCUUGGGCAUCACUUGGUGGUUCACCACCAUCUUGAGGUUGAUCUUGCCCUUGAUCUUGUUCAUUUUGUUGAGGGCCUUCCCUUUGUUCUUCAGAAGCGUGUGGGUCUUGGGUUGUUGAUGGUUCCACUUGAGUGGAACAUUGUCCUUCUCCUUCGGCCACAAGGGGUUCCUCAAUGGGUAGGAUAUAACCAACACCCAUUCUUAUUAUGGCUUGGGGAGGAAUUUCAUCACCUACAUCACAAGUAUCACUUUGCUCCACUUGGGAGCCAUUAUUCUCAUCAAACUCCAUGUUACACGUCUCCUCAAUAAGUCCCGUGGACUUAUGGAGGACACGGUAAGCAUGAGAGUUUGUAGCAUAACCAACAAAUAUGCCCUCAUGAGCUCUAGCAUCAAAUUUAGACAAACGAACACCUUUCUUGAGAAUGAAACACUUAGACCCGAACACCCGGAAGUACUUGAGGUUGGGCUUGUUACCGGUGAGUAUCUCAUAUGGAGUUUUGUUCAAGCCUUUGCGGAGGUAGAGCCGAUUGGAUGCAUGACACGCGAUGUUGAUGGCUUUGGGCCAAAAGUUGUAUGGAGACUUGAACUCCGCCAUCAUGGUCCUUGCCACAUCCAUCAACAUUUGGUUCUUCCUCUCCGCUACAUCAUUUUGUUGAGGGGUGUAAGGUGCGGAAUAUUGAUGCUUGAUCCCCUCAUCACUAAGAAACUCAUCCAAGGUGUAGUUCUUGAACUCGGUGCCGUUGUCACUUCUUAUCGUCAAGAUCUUUGCAUUGUGUUGGUGUUGAGCUUCAUUUGCAAAGUCGAUGGCGGUUUGUUGGGUCUCUCUUCCUUUUGAAGAAAUAUACCCAAGUGUAUCUUGAAUACUCAUCCACAAUCACCAAGAAAUACUUUCUACCCCCAAUACUAUCAAAGGAUGGAGGUCCAAAGAGAUCCAAGUGAAGGAUCUCCAAGGGCCUCUUCGAGUAGAUGAUAGUCGUGGGAGGGUGAGCCUUCUCAUGUAGCUUUCCUUCUAUACAAGCACUGCAAGCACGAUCUUUGGAAAAGCUAACAUUUGUUAGUCCACGGACAUGGUCCCUCUUGAGAAUACUUUGCAAAGAUCUCAUAUUGACAUGAGCUAAACGAUGAUGCCAAAGCCAUCCCACGUCAACUUUAGCCAUUAGGCAUGUUGCGGUCUUAGUGGGUCGCUCCGAAAAGUUAAUCACAUAAAGACCAUUCUCGACAUGCCCAACAAAGGCUACUUUAAGAGUCUUUCUCCACAAGAGGGCCACGGUAUCAAUAUCAAAGAAAGUGGCAAAGCCCAUGAGUGCAAGUUGACGAACGGAAAGUAAGUUGUAUGCAAGGGACUCAACAAGCAUGACUUUCUCGAUCGUGAGAUCAUGAGAAAUGACAACCUUGCCAAGACCCAAUACCUUAGAAGACGAGGCAUCACCCCACUCGACAUUGGUGGGCAUAGAUGAAAUCUUGUGCACGUACACCACCAAGUCCUUGCUCCCGUUCAUAUGAUUUGUGGCUCCACUAUCGAACAACCAUGACCCCCCACCAGAAGCAAACACCUACAAGAGAUCAAUGCUUGGUUUUAGGUACCCAUUUUGCAAUGAGUCCUUUGAUGUUAGUAACAAGGGUCUUAGGAACCCAAAUAGACCAUUCAAUAUUCUCAUAAGGAGAACCAACAAAUUUAGCAUGGCAUAGCACAUAAGAAGGGUUAAAGUCACCGACUUUAUUGGAAGGGGUGGCAUUGCUCUUCUUGACACCACCACCCUUCACAUUGUUCUUCUUCUCCUUAGAAGCACCAUCUCCCUCCUUCACAAAAGUUUGCUUGAGAGGAGGAGGUCAUUUGGCCUUGUCAUUCUUCUUCUUGUUCUUGGACUUGGGUGCAAACCCAACUCCCGGCCUCCUUGCCCACAACUUCCUUUUGAUUGCUCAAAAGGCCGUUGAGGUUCUUCUCACCUUGAAUGCAAGACACAAGGCCUUUCUCAAGUUGCUCCUUCAACUUUGCUUUCUCCUCCACAAGAUGCACAUGCUCACAACAUGUGUUAGUAGCAUUUGCGUUAUCAAUUAAAACCAUAUGAGGAAAAGUGGCCUUUUCCUUGGUUAGCUUCACUUGGAGUUGAUCAUCAGACUCCUUGAGGCUAGCAUGAGCACCCUUCAAGGCCUUGUGGGCCUUGUCAAGUAUGUCAAACUCCUCCUUGAGUCUAGCAAGAUCAACCCCAAGUUUUACCUUCUCGGAAUUGAGUACACGAGAUACAACAAGAGCAUGAUCAAGAUCUUUCUUUAAUUUAGCAUGAUCAUCGUUGUGUGACUCCUCAAGAGCCAAAUGAUGCCCACGCUCUUCCUCAAUCUCAUUAGAGAGAUUCGAUAUCUCAUCGGCAUAGUCAUGACUAUGCCCCUCCAUCUUAGAGAUGGUGUCUUCAUGAGCCUCGAUCAUGUCAUUGGCUUCACCAAGUUGUUCCAAGAGAGCAACGAAGUGCUUCUUGGAUUUACCCUUGAGCUUACUCAUAAAAGACUCAAAUUCAUUUUCUUCCUCAUUAGACCCCUCACUUUCAUCAAUGCAAUCCGUUAAACAGGGAUUAGUAGUGACGGUGGUUUUGAUGUUGGGGGUUACCUUGUUGGUGGCUUUGGCCAUGAGGCACUUGGCGGUGAUGUUCUCGUUGGGUGAGUCAAAGAGGGACACUCGUGGAGUUGUUGCAAUGGCAACGGAGGCCAUGGCAACCACCUCACCGUCUUCAUCAUCGUCAUCAUCCUCAUUGUACUCUUCUUGUGCCACCAACCCCUUGGGAGGAGUCUUCUUGGUGAAGUUGUUCUUAUUGGGGAAAUACUUGGCCUUGUCUUUUCGGAUGAGCUUGCCACCAUUGUCUUCCCUCUUCUCAUAUGGGAACUCCGCAAAAAAUGGCUCACAUUGCCACAAUUAUAGCAUGUCCUCACACGUUGCUUGCCCUUGGCGCCACUUGAGUUGUUCUUGUUGAAGUUGGGCCUUGAGUUCUUCUUGCUCCAAAAUUGCCUUGACGCGAGAGACAUGUGCUCAUGAUAAGCAUAUUUUGAUCUUCGGGGUUACCCUCCUCUUCUUCCUAUUCAUCCUCUUCUUCCACACUAGCCUUGGCCUUCAAGGCAAGGUUGGGCUUAUUUGCGCAUUGAGAAUGCAACACCGCAUUGUCGGCGGUCUUUUCCAAGAUCCUCAUUGCAACAAACUCAUCCAACACUUCACUUGAGGACAAGGUGUGGAAGUCCGGCCUUUGACGGAUGACGGAGGACAUGGCCUUAUGGUAAGGCAUCAUGGCCUUGAGAAAGUUGCGCUUGAUACAAUUGUCAUCCCUAUAUUUACUCCCAUGAUCUCAGAGUGAGACCGCGAGAGUGGUUAAUCUCCGAUAAAGCUCACAAGGUUCUUCAUCUUCAUUCAUUGCAAAUUCACCGGCUUCAUCUUGAACCACUUCAUAGUUGGAGCGUUGAAUGCUUGUGUUUCCCUUGUAAAUGGAAACAAAAUGUUUCCAUGCUUCCUUGGCCACAGUGAAAGGUCGGAGAUGUGCAAUAUCUUCGGGAGGGAUGGCCUCUUGGAGAAUGCAAAGAGCGGACUCAUUGAAUUGAUGAUCCGCGGCUUCUCUAGGAGUGAAGUUGCUUGGGUCAUGCGGGUAGAAACCUUGCUCAAUAAUUCUCCAAAGGUUAGUAGAACUAUGAUUUAAAUGACGUUUAAACCGAUAGACCCAAGAGGCAAAAUCCUCAUUUUUCACAAGCUUAGGAGGAGGACCAACAUGAUUCAAAUGAGUGGAGGGAACCAGUCCUCCAUAAGUAAGGGGUGGUUCAACAUGGGCAAAGAUGUCAUUUCCACUUCUACCACCAGACAAAGAAACUUUAUCACUAGUAGCUUCCCCCUUGUCAGAGUUAGCAUCUGUCACCUUGUUAGUGGGAUCGACCACUUCCAACGGUGCGGUGGAUAUUUUAAGACCAUCAAGAAAGUUCUUAAGCAUGCCUUUGACCUCGGCCGUCAUAGAGGUUUUCAAUGUGUCCAAGGCCACAUUGAACUCCUCACGAGAGAUCGAGGUUCCCCCAUUGGCCGUAGACGAGGACGGAAUCACACCAGGGUGCUCCUCCCCACCGUCUACGGUGUCAACCAUACUCUUCAGACGACAAAGUACUUAAUAAAGAGAUGAGGCUCUGAUACCAAUUGAAAGGAUCGAUAUAGUUGACUAGAGGGGGUGAAUAGGCAACUAACAAUUUUUAGCUUUUCUUUACCAAUUUAAACUUUGCAUCAAAGUAGGUUAUCUAGAGAUGCAACUAGGUGAGCAACCUAUAUGAUGCAACAACAAGCACACAAGCAAGCAAGGGAUACAACACAAUAUAAGCUUGCACAAGUAAAGGUGAGAGAUAACUAAUAGUGGAGCCGGUAGAGAAAAGGAUGUGUUACUGAAGUUCCUUCCCUUUGAGAGGAAGUACGUCUCCAUUGGAGCAGUGUGGAGGCACAAUGCUCCCCAAGAUGCCACUAGGGCCACAGUACUCUUCGCACGCCCUCACACAAUGUGAUAUGCCAUGAUUCCACUAUUGGUGCCCUUGAAGGCGGCGACCGAACCUUUACAAACAAGGUUGGGGCUCUCUCCACAACUGAAUUGGAGGCCCCCAAUGAAACCACGGAGCUUUACCACAAUGGAAUGUGGCUCCGAGGUGACAUCAACCGUCUAGGGUUCUCAAACACCCAAGAGUAACAAAAUUCACACAAGAAAGUAUGGGGGAAUCAAAUAUCCUUUGGUGGAAGUGUAGAUCUAGGUCUCCUCCUUCAAUCACUAGCAAAUCAACAAGUUUGAGUGGCUGUAGAGAGAGAUCGGGCAAGAAAGCUUGAAGGGAAUUAAUGGAGAAGUGAGGUAGGCAAGACGUAAUGGUGGUAGGUGGAAGAACCUCCCUUAUAUAGCAAACCCUAAAAUCCAACCGUUACUGCGAAAAUAGCACUGCAGUGGUACAACCGCUCCUUGUCCCGGUACAACCGGGACUCACGGGUAUACUGCAGAAACCCUACCAAGCGGUACAAUCGGACAUACAAGCGGUAGUACCAGUUGUGAAGAACAACCGGAACAACCGCUCAGCCACCGCUCAAUCAUUGGUUUGAAACAGAAGGGAGUCACCCCUGUGAGCGGUGAUCGAGCGGUACUACGCCAGUGCAACCGCCUGGCCCUGGUACCCUGGGUGGCUAAGUCCUAAGCGGUAGAACCUCUCAGGGCACCGGUGGUACUGGUGUGUGGAGCACAACCGGAACAACCGGGCUACCACCGCCCGAGUACAGCAUCAAACCAGAACCAUGUCCGGUAGUUGAGUGUGAUGUCUACUAUGCAACUUUAUUCUUGUAGACAUGUGUUGGGCCUCCAAGCGCAGAGUUUUGUAAGACAAUAGCAAUUUUCCCUCAAGUGGAUGACCUAAGGUUUAUCAAUCCGUGAGAGGUGUAGGAUGAAGAUGGACUCUCUCAAACGACCCUGCAACCAAAUACAAGAAAUCUCUUGUGUCCCCAACACACCCAAUACAAUGGCAAAUUGUAUAGGUGCACUAGUUUGGCGAAGAGAUGGUGAUACAAGUGUAAUAUGGAUGGUAGAAAUAUAUUUUUAUAAUCUGAAUAAAUAAAAACAACAAGGUAGCAAAUAGUAAACGGGCACAAAAACGGUGUUGCAAUGCUUAAAAACAAGGCCUAGGGUCCGUACUUUUGCUAGUGCAAUCUCUAAAUAAUGCUAACAUAGUUGGAUCAUAUGAUUAUCCCUCAAAGUGUAAUGAAGAAUCACUCCCUAGUUCCUAUCAGCGGAGAACAAAAGAUAGGAAUUGUUUAUAGGGUACGAAGCCACAUCAAAGCUAUUCUUUCCGAUCUAUCUAUUCAAGAGUUCGUACUAAAAUAACACAAAGCUAUUGUUUUUGUUCGAUCUAUCCUAGAGUUCGUACUAGAAUAACACCAAAGCAAAUUCAUAUUCAUAAUACUCAAUCCACACAAAGAACUACAAAGAGUGCCCCAAGAUUUUUACCGGAGAAACAAGGACAAGAACGUGCAUCAACCCCUAUGCAUAGAUUACCCCAAUGUCACCACGGGAAUCUGCAAGUUGAGUGCCCAAACAUAAAUCAAGUGAAUCAAUAUGGUUCCCCAUUGUCACCACGAGUAUUCAACUGCAAGACUACAUCAAGUGUUCUCAAAUCCAUAAAAGUAUUCAAUCCGAUAAGCACGAAAUCUCAAAGGGAAAAACUCAAUUCAUCACAACAAGAUAGAGAGGGGAAACCACCAUAUGAUCCGACUAUAUUAACAAAGCCCGUGAUACAUCAAUAUCGUGACAUCUCAUGAAGACAAGAGAGAGAGAGAGAGAGAGAGAGAUUAAACACAUAACUACUGGUAUAAACCCUCAGCCCCGAGGGUUGACUACUCCCUCUUCAUCGUGGUGGCCGCCGGGAUGAUGAAGAUGGCCACCGGAGAUGAUUCCCCCCUCCGGCAGGGUGCCAGAACGGGUCUAGAUUGGUUUUCGAUGGCUAUGGAGCCCUACAGCGGCGGAAUUUCUGAUCUAGGUUAACCCCGAAGGGUUUCGGAAUAUUUGGGAAUUUAUAGUGCAAAGAGGGGGUUCGGGAGGCCACCGAGGUGAGCACAACCCACCUGGGCGCGCUAGGGGGCCCUAGCACGCCCUGGUGGGUUGUGCCCCCUCGGGGCACCCCCAGGUGCAGCUCUGGCCCAUUGGGUUCCUUCUGGUCCAAAAUAAAUCUCCAAAAAGUUUCGCGGUGUUUGGACUCCGUUUGAUAUUGAUUUUCUGCGAUGUAAAAAAACAAGCAAAAAACAACAACUGGCACUAGGCACUGGGUCAAUAGGUUAGUCCAAAAAAUGUAUAAAGUUGCUAUAAAAUGAUUGUAAAACAUCCAUGAAUGAUAAUAUAUUGGCAUGAAUACUUCAUAAAUUAUAGAUACGUUGGGCCAAGCUUAAUUCCUACUCGUCAUUGAGUAGGUAAUUGAUAAAAGAAAUAAUUUAUGAAGUGUGAAUGCUAGCAAAGUGCACAAGUUUGAUCAAUGAUAAUUUCAAUCACUUCUCCUAGCAUCAUAACAUCAAUUCUUUCUUAUGAAACUUCUCAUGUUAUAGUGGCAACCAAUUCACAUGUUAAGGUUCAAACAAUGAAUUCUCUUGAAACCCAACAACCUAUGUUCUUAGUCACCAAGCAAUUGCAAUUCAACUUAUUCAACAGAGUUUAAGUAAGAGCUCCGCAUACUCAACCAUCAUAUGGUAUUCUAUGAUUUCUAACACUCACGUUGUACACAUGAGCAAAACGUCUCAACCGGACACAUAGAAAGAUAGGGGCUUAUUGUUUUGCCUCCCAACGUAUUCACCUCCAGGGUGACGUCUACAAUAAUAACUCAUGCUGCCCAUAUUCAACUGGACAUAUGUGCCCAGAUCUUUCCUCACCACAUGAUUCUUGCCAAAAAAGAAAAUAAAAAGGAAUAUAGAGGAAUACUUCGACUCUUUGCAUAAAAGUAAAUACUGAAAAGUAAAAGAUAGGCCCUUCGCAGAGGGAAGCAGAGGUUGCCAUGCGCUUAUUUGUUUGUAUGCUCAAUCCUUAGUGCAAAAUAACGUCACGUUAUAUUGCCCCUUGUGAUAGCAACCUUUAUUAUGCAGUCUGUCGCUUUUAUUGCUCUACCAUCGCAAGUUUGUACAACGCUCAAUUUUAUCUUACCCAAAAUGAUCUCACACUUUUAGGAGCAAUUUUUAUUGCCUUAUUGCACCGAUGACAACUUACUUGAAGGAUCUUGCUCAAUCCUUAGGUAGGUAUGGUGGACUCUUGAAAAUAAGAUUUGGGUUUAAGGGUUUUUGGAUGCACAAGUAGUAUCUCUACUUGGUGCGGAAUUUCUGGCUAGCAAAGACGGGGGGCAAGCACCACAUGUUGAAGGAUCUAUGACAAUAUAACUUCUAUAUGAAUAUGAACAAACAUAAACCAUUACAUUGUCUUCCUUGUCCAACGUCAACAAUUUUGGCAUAUAAUAUUUUGAUGGUGGCUCACAAUCACAAAAGAUUUCCAUGAUAGUGUAUUUAUAUGUGAAAGUUCUCUUAUACUAAUUAUUAGUGAAUUGCUUGUAUGACCAAUAUUGUGAUUGUCAAGCCUCAAAAGAUUUCACUUUCUAAACCCAAUGUGAAGCUACCACUAGGCAUGAUAUGAUUUCAACUUCAUGAUAUUUAAUUUAUUCAACAAUUUACUCAUAGGAUAUAAGUGAAGCACAAGAGUAAAUGACAUAGAAAAGAGCUUCAUUGACGGGAUGUGAAUGCCACUUACUUAGCCUCCCUGGCAAUUAUUUGAGGACUCUAUUUUAUUUAAAAACUUUAAAAUUUAAGUAUCUUAUUAAAACAGCAAGCAAAACAAAACAAAAUGACAUUUCUACAAUAGCACACAUCAUGUGAAGAAGCAAAAACUUAGGAUCAACCGAUACUAACCGAUAAUUGUUGAAGAAAAAAGGUGGGAUGCCUACCGGGGUAUCCCCAAGCUUAGAGGCUUGAGACCUCUUUAAAUACUGUCUUUGGGUGCCUUGGGCAUCCCCAAUCUUGAGCUUUUGUGUCUCCUUAAUUCCUAUCAUAUCACGGUUUUUCUAAAUUUCAAAAGCUUCAUCCACACAAAACUCAACAAGAACUUGUGAGAUAAGUUAGUAUAAACCAAUACAAAAACCUUAUCAUUCUCUACUGUAGCAAAUCACUAAAAUUAUUAUUGAACACUGCAUACUAAAUGCCUCUGCAUAUUUAAUACUCCUAUCCUCAAAUAGAAUCAUUAAACAGGCUAACAUAUGCAAACAAUGCAAACAUAACAACAAUCUGCCAAACCAGUACAGUCUUAAAGAAUGCAAGAGUAUCAAUAAUUAUUCACCAAACAUUAUGAAAAUUUACCACACUGUAGAAAAUUUAUCAGAGCUCAUUUUUCAUAAAGUUUCGACAUUUUAUCACAUUCUGACUUUUCUAGGGAAUUUUUGUAACAGCAGUAAACUUUCUGUUUUCAAACAGCAACAUGUAGACUUGUAAAAUAAGCAUAGUAAAGGCUAUCAAUGCCACUUUUAUUGAAAUAAAAGAUGCAAAACAUUAUUCUAAAUAACAGAAAGCAAAUCCUAACGAAAUUAAAUGGUGCUCCAAGUAAAACACAUAUCAUGUGACGAAUGAAAACAUAGCUCCAAGUGAGGUUUCCGAUAAUGUUGGAGACGAAAGAGGGGAUGCCUUCCGGGGCAUCCCCAAGCUUAGUUGCUUGGAUCUUCCUUGAAUAUUACCUUGGGGUGCCUUGGGAAUCCCCAAUCUUAGGGUCUUGUCACUCCUUAUUCUCCUCAUAUCGAUAUCUCAUCCAAAACUUGAAAACUUCAAUCACACAAAACUUAACGGAACUUUGUGAGAUAGGUUAGUAUGAUAAAGAGUAAACCAUUCCCCUUUUGGUACUGCAAAACACAAGAUUCAUAAUUGUUCUCACACAAUUCCUACUAUAGCAUAUCAUUUCCACAAUUUAUAUUGAGCAAUAUAAGCCAUAGAAACUAGAAAACAAGCAAACUAUGCAUUGAAAACAGAAUCUGUCAAAAACAGAACAGUCUGCAGUAAUCUGCACCCAAACCAUACUUCUGCUACUCCAAAAAUUCUGAACAUUUAGGAACAUGUGAGAAAUUUGUCUAUUAAUCUUCUUCAAAAAGAAUCAGCAUUUUAUCAUGCUUCUGUGUUAAAUGAUAAUUAUUUUCCUAAGCACAAAAGUUUCUGUUUUCCAGCAAGAUCAAAUCAACUAUCACCGUAAGCCAUCCCAAAGGUCUUACUUGGCACUUUAUUAAAACGAAAGCAAUAAAACAUGAGUACUGCAGUAGUCUAAUCAUGUGAACACACAAAAACAGUAUGUAAAAGUGUUGGGUUGUUUCCCAACAAGCGCUUUUCUUUUAUGCCUUUUAAGCUAGGCAUGAUGAUUUCAAUGAUGCUCGCAUAAAAGAUAAUAAUUGAAACACAAAGAGAGCACCAUGAAGCAUAUGACUAGCACAUUUAAGUCUAACCCACUUCCUAUGCAUAGGGAUUUUGUGAGCAAACAACUUAUGGGAACAAGAAUCAACUACCAUAAGAAGGCAAAACAAGUGCAACUUCAAAACUUUCAACACAUAGAGAGGAAACUUGAUAUUAGUGAGAAGCCUACAAGCAUAUGUUCCUCUCUCAUAAUAAUUUUCAGUAGCAUCAUGAAUGAAUUCAACAAUAUAACUAUCACAUAAAGCAUUAUUUUCAUGAUCCACAAGCAUAGAAAUUUUCUUACUCUCCACAUCAGCAAAUUUAUUCUCAUGAAUAGUAGUGGGAGCAAACUCAACAAAAUAACUAUCAUGAGAUUGAAAAUUAAAAUCAUGAUGACAAGUUUCAUGGUCAUCAUUAUUCUUUAUAGCAUACAUGUCAUCACCAUAAUCAUCAUAGAUAGCAAUUUUGUUAUCAUAAUCAAUUGCAACCUCCUCCAAAAUAGUGGAUUCAUCAUUAAAUAAAGUCACAACCUCUCCAAAUCCACUUUCAUCAAUAUAAUCAUCAUAAAUAGGAGGCAUGCAAUCAUCAUAAUAAAUUUUCUCAUCAAAACUUGGGGCACUAAAAAUAUCAUAUUCAUCAAAUAUAGCAUCCCCAAGCUUAUGGCUUUGCAUAUCAUUAGCAUCAUGGAUAUUCACAAAAUUCAUGCUAACAACAUUGCAAUCAUGCUCAUCCUUCAAAUAUUUUGUGCCCAACAUUCUAUUGACUUCUUCUAACAAUUGAGCACAAUUUUCCGAUACAUCAUUUUCAAGAAAGAUAUUAUAAAGAUGAUCAAUAAUAUGAUGCAACCUAAAUUCUAUUUUUUGUAGUUUUCCUUUAUAAACCAUACUAGUGAUAAAACAAGAAACUAAAAUAUUCAAUUGCAAGAUCUAAAGAUAUACCUUCAAGCACUCACCUCCCUGGCAACGGCGCCAGAAAAGAGCUUGAUGUCUACGACGCAACUUUAUUCUUGUAGACACGUGUUGGGCCUCCAAGCGCAGAGUUUUGUAGGACAAUAGCAAUUUUCCCUCAAGUGGAUGACCUAAGGUUUAUCAAUCUGUGAGAGGUGUAGGAUGAAGAUGGUCUCGCUCAAACGACCCUGCAACCAAAUACAAGAAAUCUCUUGUGUCCCCAACACACCCAAUACAAUGGCAAAUUGUAUAGGUGCACUAGUUCGGUGAAGAGAUGGUGAUACAAGUGUAAUAUGGAUGGUAGAAAUACAUUUUUAUAAUCUGAAUAAAUAAAAACAGCAAGGUAGAAACUACUAAAUGAGCACAAAAACAGUGUUGCAAUGCUUAAAAAUAAGGCCUAGGGUUUGUACUUUCGCUAGUGCAAUCUCUCAACAAUGCUAACAUAGUUGGAUCGUAUGAUUAUCCCUCAAAGUGUAACAAGAAUCACUCCCUAGUUCCUAUUAGCGGAGAACAAAAGAUAGGAAUUAUUUGUAGGGUACGAAGCCACCUCAAAGCUAUUCUUUCCGAUCGAUCUAUUCAAGAGUUCGUACUAAAAUAACACAAAGCUAUUGUUUCCGUUCGAUCUAUCCUAGAGUUCGUACUAGAAUAACACCAAAGCAAAUUCAUAUUCAUAAUAUUCAAUCCACACAAAGAACUACAAAGAGUGCCCCAAGAUUUUUACCAGAGAAACAAGGACACGAACGUGCAUCAACCCCUAUGCAUAGAUUACCCCAAUGUCACCACGGGAAUCCGCAAGUUGAGUGCCCAAACAUAAAUCAAGUGAAUCAAUACGCUACCCCAUUGUCACCACGAGUAUUCAAUUGCAAGACAUAUAUCAAGUGUUCUCAAAUCCAUAAAAGUAUUCAAUCUGAUAACCAUGAAAUCUCAAAGGGAAAAACUCAAUUCAUCACAACAAGAUAGAGAGGGGAAAACACCAUAUGAUCCGACUAUAUUAACAAAUCCCGCGAUACAUCAAGAUCGUGACAUCUCAAGAACACGAGAGAGAGAGAGAGAGGGAGAGAGAGAGAGAUUAAACACAUAGCUACUGGUACAAACCCUCAGCCUCGAGGGUGGACUACUCCCUCCUCAUCGUGAUGGCCGCCGGGAUGAUGAAGAUGGCCACCGGAGAUGAUUCCCCCCUCCGGCAGGGUGCCGGAACGGGUCUAGAUUGGUUUUCGAUGGCUAUGGAGCCCUGCGGCGGCGGAACUUCUGAUCUAGGUUAACCCCGAUAUCCUUCUGAUCUAGCUUAACCCCUUCGCUACUAGCAUCAUAACAUCAAUAUCCUUUGGUGGAAGUGUAGAUCUAGGUCUCCUCCUUCAAUCACUAGCAAAUCAAACAAGUUUGAGUGGCUAGAGAGAGAGAGAUCGGGCAAGAAAGCUUGAAGGGCAUUAAUGGUGAAGAGAGAGAGGAAAGAGGCAAUGGUGGUAGGUGGAAGAACCUCCCUUAUAUAGCAAACCCUAAAAUCCAACCAUUACUGCGAAAACAGCACUGCAGCAGUACAACCGCUCCUUGUACCGGGACUCACGGGUAUACUCCAGAAACCCUACCAAGAGGUACAAUCGGACAGAAAAGCAGUAGUACCAGUUGUGAAGAACAAUCAGAACAACUGCUCAGCCACCGCUCAACCACCGCUUUGAAACAGAAGGGAGUCACCCCUUUGAGCGGUGAUCGAGCAGUACUGCGCCGGUGCAACCGCCUGGCCCUGGUACCCUAGGUGGCUAAGUCCUAAGCGGUAGAACCGCUUAGGGCACCGGUGAUACCGGUGUGUGGAGCACAACCGGAACAACCGGCCCACCACUGCCUGAGUACCGCAUCAAACCAGAACCAUGUCCGGUAGUUGAGCGGUACUUGGCCGGUUUAACCGCCAAUGAGCUCCACGGUUCUUUUUAAGCGUGGUGGAGGUACCACCGCCCGGGGGCAGCGGUACAACCGCUUGGUCAUAUAAUGGGAAGAUCAACCCCAGGGUAUCACCCCUGGGGUGGUGGUUGGGCCGGUACCAAGGGCCAGCAGUACAACCGCUCGAGCGAGCGGUACAACCGCUGAGAGCUCACAACAACAGUUGAAAAAUAAGGAAAGCUCUCUCUCAAGCAAGGAAUGGAAGGCCAAGGUGGGUGAGGAAAAAGUGUACGUGCAGUGGUUCACCCAACUGCUUCCGAUGUGGAUUCCCUCUUAAUUGUACGGGUUUCCUAUGACCAAAGAGAUAAACACUUAGACAAACACUGUCUUUGAUCUUUUCCUUCCAGAGAGAAUAACUAAACGAUGCAAGCCUAAUCCCGAGAACCUGAAGCACUUAACACAAGAUUAGACCAAUAGAGAGUUUUCAUCAUCAUCCAAAACACAAGGUAGGGAAAUGACCAUACACCGUCCUCCGCCAUGACUGUGUCUAAGUGUGCCUGCUUAUACACCAUGUGGAUCCCACAAUCGGCAUGGGGGUGGGCACCUGCUUCAGCUCAUUGUCAAAUGCCUCCUCAAGCAUACGGACCUCAUCCUCGGAGCUCUCCUCAGUGAGCUACGAGGCAGUCCCGCCUCUAUGAGUUUCGUGUUGGGCCUGUGAGUCAUGGACGAUGCUGAAGGAAAUAUGCCCUAGAGGCAAUAAUAAAGUUGUUAUUUUAUAUUUCCUUAUUCAUGAUAAAGGUUUAUUAUUCAUGCUACAAUUGUAUUGAUCGGAAACUUAAAUACAUGUGUGAAUACAUAAACAAAUACAAUGUCCCUAGUAAGCCUCUACUAGACUAGCUCGUUGAUCAAAGAUGGUUAAGGUUUCCUAACCAUAGACAUGUGUUGUCAUUUGAUAACAUGAUCACAUCAUUAGGAGAAUGAUGUUAUGGACAAGACCCAUCUGUUAGCUUAGCAUAUUGAUCGUUCAGUUUAUUGCUAUUGCUCUCUUCAUGUCAAAUACGUAUUCCUUCGACUAUGAGAUUAUGCAACUCCCGGAUGCCAGAGGAAUGCCUUAUGUGCUAUCAAACGUCACAACGUAACUGGGUGAUCAUAAAGAUGCUCUACAGGUAUCUCCAAAGGAGUUUGUUGAGUUGGCAUAGAUCGAGAUUAGGAUUUGUCACUCCGAGUACCAGAGAGGUAUCUCCGGGCCGUCUCGGUAAUACACAUCAUAAUCUUGCAAGCAAAUGACUAAGGAGUUAGUCACAAGGUGAUGUAUUACGGAACGAGUAAAUAGACUUAAUGGUAACGAGAUUAAACUAGGUAUAGAGAUACCGACGAUCGAAUCUUGGGCAAGUAACAUAUCGAUGACAAAGGGAAUUACUUAUGUUGUCAUAACGGUUCGACCGAUAAAGAUGUUCAUAGAAUAUGUAGGAGCCAAUAUGGGCAUCUAGGUUCCUCUAUUGGUUAUUGACCGGAGAGGUGUCUCAGUCAUGUCUACAUAGUUCUCGAACCCGUAGGGUCCACACGCUUAACGUUCAUUGACAAUAUAGUAUUAUAUGAGUUAUGUCAUUUGGUUACCGAAUGUUGUUCAGGGUCCCAAAUGAGAUCACGGACAUGACGAGGAGUCUCUAAAUGUUCGAGACGUAAAGAUUGAUAUAUAGGACGAUGAUAUUUGGACACCGGAAGUGCUUUGGGUGGUAUCAGGUAUUUAUCGGGUCUCCGGAAGGGGUUCUGGGCAGCCCCAAUAGGUUUUUGGGCCUUAUGGUCCAAAAGGGGAAGAGCACACCAACCCACAAGGGGCUGGCGCGCCCUCUACCCCCUACCCACGCACCAAAGGAGGGAGGGAAGGAAAGGGGGGCGCCCUAAGGCACCAUCUCCCUUUCCUUCCCCCUCAUGUCCAAAAAAGGGAAGGGGGCACAGGGGCAAGGCAGCAGCCCUAGGGCUGCCGCCAGGUCUCUUGGGGCGCCCUAGGGGCUGCCUCCUCCCCUCCCACCUAUAUAUAUGUGGGGAGGUGAUGUCUACUACACAUCCUUCUUCUUGUAGACGUUGUUGGACCUCCAAGUGAAGAGGUUUGUAGGACAGUAGUAAAUUUCCCUCAAGUGGAUGACCUAAAGUUUAUCAAUCUGUGGGAGGUGUAGGAUGAAGAUGGUCUCUCUCAAGCAACCCUGCAACCAAAUAGCAAAUAGUCUCUUGUGUCCCCAACACACCCAAUACAAUGGUAAAUUGUAUAGGUGCACCAGUUCGGCGAAGAGAUGAUGAUACAAGUGCAAUAUGGAUGGUAGAUAUAGGUUUUUGUAAUAUGAAAAUAUGAAAACAGCAAGGUAACUAAUGAUAAAAGAAAGUGAAAACGAUAUUGCAAUGCUUUGAAACAAGGCCUAGGGUUCAUACUUUCACUAGUGCAAGUUCUCUCAGCAAUAAUAACAUAAUUGGAUCAUAUAACUAUCCCUCAACAUGCAACAAAGAUUCACUCCAAAGUCACUCAUAGUGGAGAACAAACGAAGAGAUUAUUGUAGGGUACGAAACCACCUCAAAGUUAUUCAUUCUGAUCGAUCUAUUCAAGAGUUCGUAGUAAAAUAACACGAAGCUAUUCUUUCCGUUCGAUCUAUCCUAGAGUUCGUACUAGAAUAACACCUUAAGACACAAAUCAACCAAAACCCUAAUGUCGCCUAGAUACUCCAAUGUCACCUCAAGUAUCCGUGGGUAUGAUUAUAUGAUAUGCAUCACACAAUCUCAGAUUCAUCUAUUCAACCAACACAAAGAACUUCAAAGAGUGCCCCAAAGUUUCUACCGGAGAGUCAAGACGAAAACGUGUGCCAACUCCUAUGCAUAAGUUCACAAGGUCACAGAACUCGCAAGUUGAUCACCAAAACAUACAUCAAGUGGAUCACGUGAAUAUCCCAUUGUCACCACAGAUAAGCACAUGCAAGACAUACAUCAAGUGUUCUCAAAUCCUUAAAGACUCAAUCCGAUAAGAUAACUUCAAAGGGAAAACUCAAUUCAUCACAAGAGAGUAGAGGGGGAGAAACAUCAUAAGAUCCAACUAUAAUAGCAAAGCUCAUGAUACAUCAAGAUCGUUCCAAAUGAAGAACACGAGAGAGAGAGAGAGAUCAAACACAUAGCUAUUGGUACAUACCCUCAGCCCCGAGGGUGAACUACUCCCUCCUCGUCAUGAAGAGCGCCGGGAUGAUGAAGAUGGACACCGGUGAUGGAUCCCCCCUCCAGCAGGGUGCCGGAAUGGGUCUAGAUUGGUUUUUGGUGGCUACGGAGGCUUGCGGCAGCGGAACUCCCGAUCUAGGUUAUUUUUUGGAGGUUUCUGUAUUUAUAGAAAUUUUUGGCGUCGGGAACAAGUCAGGGAGGUCCCCGAGUCGUCCACGAGAUAGGGCGGCACGCCCGGGGGGGGGGGGGUAGGGCGCGCCCCCACCUUCUUGGAUGGCCUGGGACUCUUCUGGCCCAACUAUUUUACUCCGAGGUCUUCUUUUGGUCCAUAAAAAAUCAUCAAAAAUUGGCACGUCAAUUGGACUCCGUUUGGUAUACCUUUUCUGUAAAACUCAAAACAAGGGAAAAACAAAAACUGACAUUGGGCUCUAGGUUAAUAGGUUAGUCCCAAAAAUCAUAUAAAAUAGCAUAUAAAUGCGUAUAAAAUAUCCUAGAUGGAUAAUAUAAUAGAAUGGAACAAUCAAAAAUUAUAGAUACGUUGGAGACGUAUCAAGCAUCCCCAAGCUUAAUUCCUGCUCGUCCUCGAGUAGGUAAACGAUAAAACAGAUUUUUUGACGUGGAAUGCUACCUAACAUAUUUAUCAAUAUAAUUUUCUUUAUUGUGGCAUGAAUGUUCAAAUCUGAAAGAUUCAAGACAAAAGUUUAUUGGCAUAAAGAUAAAAAUACUUCAAGCAUGCUAACCAAGCAAUUAUAUCUUCUCAAAAUAACAUAGCCAAAGAAAGCUCAUCCCUACAAAAUCAUAUAGUUUGGCCAUGCUUUAUUUCUGUCACACAAAAUGCCCCAUCAUGCACAACCCCGAUGACAAGCCAAGCAAUUGUUUCAUAUGUAGCCUUUUCAAACUUUUUCAACUUUCACGCAAUAUAUGAGCGCGAUCCAUGGACAUAGCACUAUGGGUGGAAUAGAAUAUGAUGAUGGAGGUUGUGUGAGAAGACAAAAGGAGAAAGUCUCACAUUGACGCGGCUAAUCAAUAGGCUAUGGAGAUGCCCAUCAAUUGAUGUCAAUGCAAGGAGUAGGGAUUGCCAUGCAAUGGAUGCACUAGAGCUAUAAAUAUAUGAAAGCUCAACAAAAGAAACUAAGUGGGUGUGCAUCCAACUUGCUUGCUCAUGAAGACCUAGGGCAUUUUGAGGAAGCCCAUCAUUGGAAUACACAAGCCAAGUUCUAUGAUGAAAAAUUCCCACUAGUAUAUGAAAGUGACAAAAUAAGAGACUCUCUAUCAUGAAGAUCAUGGUGCUACUUUGAAGCACAAGUGUGGAAAAAGGAUAGUAACAUUUCCCCUUCUCUCUUUUUCUCUCGUUUUUUAUUUGGGGCCUUUUUUGGCUGCUUUUAUAUUUAUUUAUUUUUCGUCCGGAAUCUCAUCCCGACUUGUGGGGGAAUCAUAGUCUCCAUCAUCCUUUCCUCGCAUGGGACAAUGCUCUAAUAAUGAAAUUCAUCACACUUUUAUUUACUUACAACUCAAAAAUUACAACUCGAUACUUAGAACAAAAUAUGACUCUAUGUGAAUGCAUCCGGCGGUGUAUCGGGAUGUGCAAUGAAUCAAGAGUGACAUGUAUGAAAGAAUUAUGAAGGUGGCUUUGCCACAAAUACAAUGUCAACUUCAUGAUCAUGCAAAGCAAUAUGACAAUGAUGGAGCGUGUCAUAAUAGACAGAGAAGUGGAAAGUUGCAUGGCAAUAUAUCUCGGAAUGGCUAUGGAAAUGCCAUAAUAGGUAGGUAUGGUGGCUGUUUUGAGGAAGAUAUAAGGAGGCUUAUGUGUGAUAGAGCGUAUCAUAUCACGGGGUUUGGAUGCACCGGCGAAGUUUGCACCAACUCUCGAGGUGAGAAAGGGCAAUGCACGGUACCGAAGAGGCUAGCAAUGAUGGAAGGGUGAGAGUGUGUAUAAUCCAUGGACUGAACAUUAGUCAUAAAGAACUCACAUACUUAUUGCAAAAAUCUACAAGUCAUCAAAACCAAGCACUAAUUCUCCUAGGGAGAUAGAUUGGUAGGAAAAGACCAUCGCUCGUCCCCGACCGCCACUCAUAAGGAAAGCAAUCAAAGAACACCUCAUGCUUCAAAUUUGUCACACAACGGUUACCAUACGUGCAUGCUAUGGGACUUGCAAACCUCAACACAAGUAUUUCUCAAUUUCACAAUUACUCAACUAGCACGACUCUAAUAUCACUAUCUUUAUAUCUCAAAACAAUUAUCAAGUAUCAAACUUCUCAUGGUAUUCAAUGCACUCUAUAUGGAAGUGUUUAUUAUACCCAUCUUGGAUGCCUAUCAUAUUAGGACUAAUUUAGCCAAAGAAAAUUACCAUGCUGUUCUAAAAGACUCUCAAAACAAUAUAAGUGAAGCAUGAGAGAUCAAUAAUAUCUAUAAAAUAAAACCACCACCGUGCUCUAAAAAGAUAUAAGUGAAGCACUAGAGCAAAUGACAAACUACUCCAAAAGAUAUAAGAGAAGAUCAAUGAGUAGUCGAAUAAUUAUGUAACUAUCUGAAGACUCUCUAACAUUUAAGAAUUUCAGAUCUUGGUAUUUUAUUCAAACAGCAAGCAAAACAAAAGAAAAUAAAAUGACGCUCCAAGAAAAACACAUAUCAUGUGGUGAAUAAAAAUAUAGCUCCAAGUAAGGUUACCGAUGAACAAAGACACAAGAGGGGAUGCCUUCUGGGGCAUCCCCAAGCUUAGGCUCUUGCCACUGCUUAUUCCAUAGUCCAUCGAAUCUUUACCCAAAACUUGCAAACUUCACAACACAAAACUCAACAGAAAACUCGUAAGCUCCAUUAGUAUAAGAAAGCAAAUCACCACUUAGGUACUGUCAAGACAAGAUUCGUAAUAUUUCUCACAUGAAGCCUACUAUACCAUACCAUUUCUACAAUUUAUAUUAAGCAAUAUAAGCCAUAGAAACUAGAAAACAAGCAAACUAUGUGUCAAAAACAGAAUCUGUCAAAAACACAACAGUCUGUAGUAAUCUGGAGAAUUCGAAUACUUCUGUAACUCAAAAAAUUCUGAAAAAUUAGGAAGACCUAAAUAAUUUGUAUAUUGAUCUACUGCAGUUGUAAUUGGUAUUUUAUCGUUCCCUGGUAAAAAAUGAAAAUCAUUCUCGUGAGCACAUACUUUCUAUUUUUUUCAGCAAGAUCAAACAACAAUCACCCAAGAAGAUCCUAAAGGCUUUACUUGGAACAAACACUAAUUAAACAUAAAAAAUCAUAACAGAGGCUAGAUGAAUUACUUAUUACUAAACAGGAACAAAAAGUAAAGAACAAAAAUAAAAUUGGGUUGCCUCCCAACAAGCGCUAUCGUUUAACGCCCCUAGCUACGCAUGAUGAUUUCAAUGAUGCUCACAUAAAAGAUAAGAAUUGAAACAUAAAGAGAGCAUCAUGAAGAAUAUGACCAGCACAUUUAAGUCUAACCCACUUCCUAUGCAUAGGUAUUUUGUGAGCAAACAACUUAUGGGAACAAUAAUCAACUAGCAUAGGAAGGCAAAACAAGCAUAACUUUAAAACUUUAAGCACAUAGAGAGAAAACUUGAUAUUAUUGCAAUUCCUACAAGCAUAUAUUCCUCCCCCAUAAUAAAUUUUAGUAGCAUCAUGAAUGAAUUCAACAAUAUAACCAUCACAUAAAACAUUCUUUUCAUGUUCUACAAGCAUAGAAAAUUUACUAUUCUCCACAUAAGAAAAAUUCUUCUCAUUCGGAAUAGUGGGAGUAUCAUAAGAAACUUGAAUACUAUAAAUUGUUUCCACAUUAAAGGAGUAAUGUUCAGAAAAAGGGUAAUCAUAAUCAUGACAAGUUUUAUAAAUAUAAUCAUCACUACUUUUUAUAGCAUAAGUGUCAUCACAGUAAUCAUCAUAAGUGGCAACUUUGUUCUCAUCAUAAUCAAUUGGAACCUCUUCCAAGAUAGUGGAAUCAUUACUAAAUAAAGUCAUGACCUCUCCAAAUCCACUUUCAUAAUUUUCACAAUAAGAUUCAACACCCUCCAAAAUAGUGGGAUCAUUACUUCCUAAAGUUGACACUCUUCCAAACCCACUUUCAUCAAUAUAACCAUCAUAAAUAGGAGGCAUGCUAUCAUCAUUAUAAAUUUGCAUAUCAAAACUUGGGAGGUUAAAUACAUCAUCUUCAUGAAACAUAGCAUCCCCAAGCUUGGGACAAACAUUAAUUGCAGCAAAUAAAUUCUCAAACAUGUCAUUCUCAUCAUACAUAGCAUCCCCAAGCUUGGGCCUUUUCAUAUCAUAAGCAUAAUCACUCUCAUCAUUAAUAGUAUGGAUAGCACCAAUAGUACAACAAUUAUCAUCAUCACAAUGAGUAAUAGGAGCAACAUCAUUUGGGAGGGAUACCUUUUUACCUUUGCUUCUCCGUCUUUUCUUUUUAUUAUUCACAUUAUGUGUGGGUUUAAUCCUCUUUUUGGAGCUCCUUAUUAAUGAGAUUGGUUGAAUAGAAGGCUCCUCCUCGUUACCUAAUCCAUCAUAAGAAAUAAUAUGAGGAUAUUGGGAAGUCUCUUCCCUUUCAUUAGUAUUCUCUUCAUCUUGUAUUUGUUUUCUUGUCUUUAUGUAAUUCACAAUAUAAGGAUUUUCAAUGCAAUUCACCGCACAAUACAUAUAAAUUUCCUCUAGAUCAAAAUCAAGAACUUUACCAAGGACAAAUUCUGGAAGAUCCUUAGUUAUACGUUUCAUUUCUUCAUAACCCACAAGCAAACUAAGUUCAUUAUGAUGUGCAAGGGAAAUCAAGUCAUCACAAUUUUUCGACACGAUUCAAUCAUGAAACAAUUUGCAUUGGAUAUUUAAAUGACCAUGUUCAUUGCAAAGUUCACAAGGAUGGCUAAGAAAAUUUAAAUUUUCAGCACAAGCAUUUAGCCUCUCUUGCAACCAUUUAGUUUCUAAAUACUUAUGCCUCUUGCAAAAUCCAUCUUCCCUAUUUGCUGUGUGCUUGCAAGCUCUAUGCACUCCACAAAAAUUGACAUGCUUAUAAGAGACAUUUCAUCAUGAGUACUACAAUCAUCAUUAGUACUAUGGAUAUUCAAAGAGUUCGUACUAACAACAUUACAAUCAUGCUCAUAAUUCAAAGGUUUAGUGUCAAACAUUUUAAUGCAUUCUUCUUCUAGCACUUUGGCACAAUUAUCGGAAUCAUUAUUUUCAGGAAAGAUAUUAAAAAGAUGAAGCAUAUGCGGCAACCUUAAUUCCAUUUUUUGUAGUUUUCUUUUAUAGACUAAACUAGUGAUAAACAAGAAACUAAAAGAUUCGAUUGCAAGAUCUAAUUGUAUACCUUCAAGAGCUAACCUCCCCGGCAAGGAUGCCAGGAAAGAGCUUGAUGUCUACUACACAUCCUUCUUCUAGUAGACGUUGUUGGGCCUCCAAGUGCAGAGGUUUGUAGGACAAUAGCAAAUUUCCCUCAAGUGGAUGACCUAAGGUUUAUCAAUCCAUGGGAGGCGUAGGAUGAAGAUGGUCUCUCUCAAGCAAGUCUGCAACCAAAUAGAAAAGAGUCUCUUUUGUCCCCAACACACUAAUGUCUACUACACAACCUUCUUCUUGUACACAUUGUUGGGCCUCCAAGUGUAGAGGUUUGUAGGACAGUAGCAAAUUUCCCUCAAGUGGAUGACCUAAGGUUUAUCAAUCCGUGGGAGGCGUAGGAUGAAGAUGGUCUCUCUCAAACAACCCUGCAACCAAAUAGCAAAGAGUCUCUUGUGUCCCCAACACACCCAAUAUAAUGGUAAUUGUAUAGGUGCACCAGUUAGGCGAAGAGAUGGUGAUACAAGUGCAAUAUGGAUGGUAGAUAUAGGUUUUUGUAAUAUGAAAAUAUAAAAACAGCAAGGUAACUAAUGAUAAAAGUGAGCGUAAACGAUAUUGCAAUGCUAGGAAACAACGCCUAGGGUUCAUACUUUCACUAGUGCAAGUUCUCUCAACAAUAAUAACAUAAUUGGAUCAUAUAACUAUCCCUCAACAUGCAACAAAGAGUCACUCCAAAGUCACUAAUAGCGGAGAACAAACAAAGAGAUUAUUGUAGGGUACGAAACCACCUCAAAGUUAUCCUUUCUGAUCGAUCUAUUCAAGAGUCCGUAGUAAAAUAACACGAAGCUAUUCUUUCUGUUCAAUCUAUCCUAGUGUUCAUACUAGAAUAACACCUUAAGACACAAAUCAACCAAAACCCUAAUGUCACCUAGUACUCCAGUGUCACCUCAAGUAUCCGUGGGUAUGAUUAUACGAUAUGCAUCACACAAUCCCAGAUUCAUCUAUUCAACCAACACAAAGAACUUCAAAGGGUACCCCAAAGUUUCUACCGGAGAGUCAAGACGAAAACGUGUGCCAACCCCUAUGCAUAAGUUCAUGAGGUCACAGAACUCGCAAGUUGAUCACCAAAACAUACAUCAAGUGGAUCACGUGAUAUGCCAAUAUUACCACGGAUAAGCACAUGCAAUACAUACAUCAAGUGUUCUCAAAUCCUUAAGGACUCAAUCCGAUAAGAUAACUUCAAAGGGAAAACUCAAUUCAUCACAAGAGAGUAGAGGGGGAGAAACAUCAUAAGAUCCAACUAUAAUAGCAAAGCUCGUGAUACAUCAAGAUCGUGCCGAAUCAAGAACACAAGAUAGAGAGAUCAAACACAUAGCUACUGGUACAUACCCUCAGCCCCGAGGGUGAACUACUCCCUCCUCGUCAUGGAGAACGUCGGGAUGAUGAAGAUGGCCACCGGAGAGGGAUUCCCCCCUCCGGCAGGGUGCCAGAACGGGUCUAGAUUGGUUUUCGGUGGCUACGGAGGCUUCUGGCGGCGGAACUCCCGAUCUAGGUUAUGUUCUGGAAGUUUUGGGUUAUAUAAGAGGUGUUGGAGUCGGGAAUAAGUCAGGGGGGUUUUCGGGCUGUCCACGAGGUAGGGAGGCACGCCCCCACCCUCGUGGGCAGACCGGGACUCUUUUGGCCCAACUCUUUUACUCCAUGGCCUUCUUCUGGUCCAAAAAUAAGUUCCGUGAAGUUUCAGGUCAAUUGGACUCCGUUCGAUUUUCCUUUUCUGUAAAACUAAAAAAAAA
This 52011-nucleotide long non-coding RNA is filed under the name Triticum aestivum (bread wheat). RNAcentral describes it as "long non-coding RNA (TAES_LNC001727)". Lineage: Eukaryota; Viridiplantae; Streptophyta; Magnoliopsida; Poales; Poaceae. The record is from RNAcentral.